ACCCUCACGGCGACCACCACGGAAUCCACCUCCACCUCCACCUCCACUGCCGCGAGAUUGAGCCUUGUUAACGGUAAUAUUCCUCCCAUCAAGAUCCUGACCGUUCAUUCCUUCAAUCGCGUCCCUCAUCGAUUGGUCGUCCUUGAAGGUAACGAAUCCAAAACCCCUCGAUCUUCCAGUUUCGCGAUCAUUAAUUAUCUAAAUAAGAAAAUUCCAAAAACCCAUCAGAUUCAAACAGAUCCAUAACAUACAUAGUAAAAUGAUCAAAAUGAAAACUGAAAAGCGAUUCGAUCCUCAUCUCCUGAUAACAAAAAGGAAGAUGGAACGUACCGAUACAGGGGAAAGUAAUAGUAACGGAAAUAGUAACUCAGUAACAGUAACAUAUUAACAGUUGUCAACAAAACCGAAUCGAGACGGAUCCCGAUCUCUGCGACUAACGGACCUUCGAUUCGAUGACUUCUCCAAACUCAGCAAAGGCUUGCUCGAGUGAUUGAUCUGUGGUGGCCCAUGCUAGACCACCGACAAAGCAUCUGUACUCAACAUCUGCAGACGCCAUUGAUAACUUUAGAUAGAGAAACUGAGGAAGAAGGAGAUAGAAUUGCAAUGGAAGUAAUUGAAGCAGAAAUACAGUGUUUAUAUAGGCGGAAAAAGCUAGUUGUGGUUAGGGUAAAAAGUACGCACAUAGAGCUUUUUAGCUUUUUCCAUUACCAUGGUUAAGGAUAAUGGUUAAGAAUAACUUUUUCAUUUUUAGGAAGAAUAUAAUAUGAGAAUAGGACUGAAUAUGGUCCUCUUCAUUUUGAUUUUAAAGAGAAUCAAAUUGAACCCAAAUUUUCAGGUAGUAAGUGGAAUCGUUGGGUUCAAAUUUAAUUGUGGAACCGUUUGGAUUCGAUUUGAUUCCAUUCAGUUCUGUUUGAUUUCAUUUGAUUCUCGAGUUCGUACUAUAAUUAAAUUUUUAAAUAUUUACAAAGUUCCAUUAAUUCAACUAAUGAUAUGUUUAAUCUUAACUUUUAUAAAAUAACGACUCCAAUUUUUCCCUUAGGGUUACGAUCCAACAAUUGUUUAUCAAGGGCAAAGAAUUUUUAAAAUUCCGGCAUGUUUGUUGACACAAUACAGUAAACAAGAUUUCAAAUUCUUUUUCUUACUACUAGUCUUUGCUCGUGCAAUGCACUGGUUGCUUCAAUAUAAAGCUAAUGUUAGCGUGUUUAAUGUGAAGGAAUAAUGAUAGAUAUGUUGAACCUUAUCUAUUUUUUCUUUUCUAAAAGUAAUUGCAAUAAAUCAAAUUAGAUACACUUGGAAUAACUGGUUAGAGUAAAGAAUUGUGCUAGAACAUUUAAUUUAUAUGCAUGUGGAUGCCUUCGAAAGCUGACGGAAAUAAGAAUAAAAUAAAUGAAAUAUAGAAUAUACUAAUCUAUUUUGUUUGUUUAUUUAUUUGUUUAUUUUUUUUGGGAAUUUUAAUGAAUGAUAAAUACUUUGUUUACACCAAAUAAAAAAUUCAAGCAUUCAUUUUUAAAUACAGAGAGAGACAUGUGAAGAAGAUGACAACAAAGCCCUUAUGGCCAAAUAAACAAGGCAAUUUGAUACCUAAAGUACAUCGGAUAUCAAAAGUAGCACUAAAUCAUUGUCCAAGACACUGUCCCAUAUGUUCCCCCGAGUUCCAUUUUCUUCAUUAAAACCCAGCAGCACAAGCUCAACAAAUGAGUGAGAACCCUUCCUCAAAUCGAUCUGCAUGAAGAAUGAUAUGGUUACAAGCUUUAUACGAGGAUAAACUUGCAUUAUUUCUUGAGAAAAUGACAAAAGUAAAAAAAAAAAUAACAAAUUACCUUAACCACAAUAUCAGAUUUCGCUUCAGCAAGAGAAUCCUUCAAGUUCUGAACUUAAGCCGAUCCCUACACAAAUGCAAAGAGUUUCUAUCAUCUUGGCAGAAAUCAGUAGAACAUCGUGAAGGAGCAGUUAUAAUUCCUUAUUUUAAGAGCUUCAUAUCGCAAAGUUUAUAAUGGUUCAUUUAUUUAUCAACAAUCAAGAAUGAGUUAUGUUAAAUAUGUACAACCCUAGUACCCAGGAAAUGAGGCAUGCCUUAGCAUAUUUCAAGAGCUACCCCUGCAUUCAACUGAGUGUACAAGAUUGUUGAUAGAAAUUUAGGCCUUUUCCUCUCAUAACCAUUUCAACCAAUGAAUAAAGUUAAAGUUCAAGAAUCAGAAAUGACAAAGUUGUAAGUUCCUUUUUUUUUUUAUUUUUUAGAAAAAAAAAGAAUAAGAAGAAUUGACUAUCAAAAAGAAAUUAAAAUUACCAGCUCCGAUGGCAAAGACAUUCUUCAAUCCUCCCAUAAAACUUCAUGCAUAAGAAGGUCAUUGUGGUCCCAAACAUUGAAAUGGGAUUUGCCUUAAGAACUUAGGAAGUGGUAUUCUCCAUUUUCAGGCUCCACAUAUUCGAGCAUUAGCACCAUAUUCCAUGUUAUAGAUCUCUACGGAAAUAUUUGGUCUGCUAAUUAAUAUAAUAUAGAUAAGGAAAUAAAGAAAGAAUUACAAACGAGGUGACAAUUUCUUUUAAAUAAGAUGCUUUGCUUUGUUCUAUUUGAUUCUCGUUCUAUGAUGUGGAAUUUGGGGAUGAAGGAAUAAAUGUGGUUUACUUGCUUCAUGAGCAAUCUGGACCCCCCCCCCCCCCCCCCCGUCCCCCCCCCCCCCCCCCCCCCCCCAAAAAAAAAAGCCACAUGCUUCUGCAAGUUUUAUCGUUGCAUUUCCCUAAGUGUGCUCAUAUCCAUUCCUAUUCAAUUUCUUUAAAAUAUCACCGGUAAUUUUACUUCCUACCACCAAAUUCAAAAAACUAAAAGACAGACAGAAUUUAACACAAGAUCACGCAUGCCAAGCUGUGAGAAAAUUGAAAUAAAGACUCCAAAAUAACAGUUAGGAAUGAAAUUAAUAACACAAAAUGAAGACAAGCAAUCAAGAAAACAUACAACACAAGGUUCAGAGACAUUAGAAAAAGAAUCGAGAUACAAUGCAACAAUGUCUCUAAGAAGCUAAUUCGAACAGCUUUGAUAGAAGCUACUUGCAAAUGAUUCUAGCUCAUCAAAUGUUUAAACCUUUCUUAGCAACUUUGUUAUAUGGAUUUUGGUCCAAGGGUCAUAUUUGUGUAAAAUCUACUAUUUUAUCCAUCGACGCAGACUUUCUGGUUACUCAAUAUUAGCAAAUUCUCCCACAAGAAUACCGUAUGUCACCACGCAUUUCAAUUCCUUCUUCCACCAUCUUUCUUACACAUGAAAAUGCUUCUUCCAUGUCUCUUCCUACUGCAUAUGCACAAAGAAGGCUGCAGCAGUGCAAAGUGGAUUUAUCGUGAGAUGAUCACUUAAUAAUUUAAAAUGGGAAUCGGAUCAACUUCUUAUGUGCAACUAAAAGCAAUAGGAAGAUACAAUUGGUUUUCUCCCCAUUACUACAUUUUAGGCCAAACCUUGCACCACAUUUCUUAUGAAGAAUUGGAAUGACUUCCAAGCAUACAUUGCAUCACUUCAUUUUUUUUUUCUUUUCCACUGGUGCGGAAGCGUGUUUGAAUUCUUGAAAUAAGAAUUAUAAUGAAAGAAAUAUGAACCGAUAUAGGAAUAAUAUGCUUCUAUUGAUUGAAUAAUGAAUAAUUGAUUGAGAAUUGUACAAUAGCUUCUAUAUUUAUAGGCAAAUUCCUAUUUCUAACAGUACUAGAAAAUUGAAAUAAGGAAACUAGUGAACUAAUAAAACUCUAUUCUAAUUAAAACUCUCAAUAAAAUAAAAGUCCUAACACAAUAAAACUAAAAAGAAAAUAAAGUCUUAGAAAAUAUAAAAUACAAUUGUAGUAGGAAUCCUAUUGCAGUUGUACUACAUCAAUCCCCUCCACUUGAAAGAAAACUUGCCCUCGAGUUUUGUGUUUGCAAGGAAAAUUCAUCUCGAGGAAAGUAUUCAUAAAUAUCAACAACAUUAAAAGUAUCGAAAAUGUUCAUAUCUGCUGAAAGAUCAACUUUAUAAGUAUUAUCGCCAAUUUUUUGAAGAAUGCGAAAAGGACCAAUCUUCUUAUCUAUAAGUUUACUGUAAGUGCCAACAGGAAAACGAUUUUUUCUGAUAUGAACCAUCACUAAAUCACCUUCGUUGAAUAGCUUAAAGCGCCUAUGUUGGUCAGCAGCAGCCUUGUAACGAAUAUUAGCAUCUUCUAAAUUUUGUUUAUUUUGUUUUACCUCGUAAUGAAUUCUUUGAAUAUGUUCAGCAAACUGCUCGAAUCAUAUUGCCAAGAGUUCGAUUAGCCACUUCGGUUUGACCAUCUAUUUGGGGAUGACUUGUGCUACUAAAUUUUAAAGAAGUGUCAAAUAUUUUCCACAAUGUCCUCCAAAAGUGACUUAAAAACUUUACAUCUCUAUCAGAAGUUAUAGAACAAGGGAUACCAUGUAGGAGAACGAUCUCGCGAAAAAAUAAAUUAGCCACGUAAGAAGCAUCUGUAGUUUUCUUACAAGGAAUGAAGUGAGCCAUUUUUGAAAAUCGAUCAAUUACGACCAAAACAGAAUCAACUCCCCGUUGAGUUCGUGGGAGACCGAGAACAAAAUCCAUUGUAAGAUCUUGCCAUAUUGUAUCUGGAAUAGGCAAAGGAGUAUAAAAGCCAGUAUUUUGAACUUGUCCCUUAGCUUUCUGACAUAUUGGGCAACGUUGAACAAAACGACCAAUAUCACUUUUGAGUAGGGGCCAGUAAAAUCUCUCUUCAACCAAGCUGAUUGUCUUAUCUCGACCAACAUGUCCGCCUAAACCGCCUGCAUGUAGUUCUCGAAUCAAGUGCUCACGCAAAGAAGAACGAGGAAUGAAUAAUUGCGUUCCCUUAAACAAGAAUCCUUCCUGAAGAAGGCAAUCGGGUAUAAAUUCCUUAUCAUUGCAUCGAGCCCAUAUAUCGCCAAAAUCUUCAUCAGUUGCAUAUAGUUCCUUUAAACAAUCAAACCCAACUACUUUUGUUUUAAUUGUAGCUAGAAGAGAUGCAUAGCGACUUAAUGCGUCUUCUACUUUAUUCUGUUGGCCAGAUUUAUGUUUUAUAACAAAAGUGAAUUUCUGCAAAAAGGUAAUCCAUCGAGCGUGCAUUCGAUUCAUUGUUUUUUGAGAAUUAAUAAACUUCAAAGUUUGAUGAUCUGUAAAUAGCACAAAUUCUCGUUGAACCAAGUAAUGUUCCCAAUGCUUUAAUGCUCGAAUAACGGCAUAAAAUUCUAACUCAUACUUAGUCCACUUUUGUCGUGGUUCACUAACCUUUUCACUGAAAAAUUCAACUGGGCAGCCUUCUUGGGACAACAUUGCUCCAAUGCCCAUAACUGAAGCAUCACACUCAACUUCAAAUAUUUUCUCGAAGCUAGAUAGUGCCAACACCGGUGUAGUGCAUAACUUGUUUUUGAUUGUCUUAAAACUAUCUUCCCGUGCUUUGCCCCACUGGAAUUGGCCCUUUUUCAAGCAAUCAGUGAUAGGUGCUAUAAUUUUACUAAACCCUCGAAUGAAGCGCCUAUAAAAAGUUGCUAAUCCAUGAAAGCUCUGUACUUCUCGCACGGUUUUAGGAGUUGGCCACUCGCGUAUUGCUUUCACCUUUGCCUCAUCAACUUGAAUACCAUCUUUUCCCACCAUUAAACCAAGAAAUAAUAGUUGGUCGGUCAUAAAGCUGCACUUUUUGAGAUUAAUAUACAAUUUAUUUUCCUGAAGGGCUGAAAAAACUUCUGUAAGAUGUGCUAAGUGCUCAUCUUCAUUUUUGCUGUAGAUAAGAACGUCAUAAAAAUAAACCACCACAAAAUUUCCCACAAAUGGACGAAGAACUUGGUUCAUCAAUCGCAUAAAUGUGCUCGGCACGUUUGAUAGCCCAAAUGGCAUCACUAACCACUCGUAGAGACCAUCUUUUGUUUUAAAAGCUGUUUUCCACUCAUCGUCAAGGCGUAUAUGGAUCUGAUGAUAGCCACUCCUUAAAUCAAGCUUGGUAAAUAUCACUGCACCUUCCAACCUAUCGAGCAUAUCAUUGAGACGCGGGAUGGGAAAGCGAUACUUGAUUGUUAUUUUAUUAAUGGCACGACUGCCUAUACACAUUCGCCAACUGCCAUCCUUCUUUGGAAUGAGUAAAGAAGGAACUGCACACGGACUUAAUUCAUUAACCUGUCGCUGCAACUCUUCGUGUUCUACUGGGCUCAUGCGAUAAUGUGGCAAGUUAGGUAAACUAGCUCCAGGUGCCAAAUCAAUAUGAUGUUGGAUAUUUCACAUAGGGGGCAACUCGUUUGGUAACUCGUCAGAUGCUAUCUCGGCAAAAUCAGCAAAUACUUUCUGAACUUUGGUGGGAAUCUGUAUAGUUACUUCUGAUGGACCUUUAACAACCAAGGCCAAUACUGUGCAAGGCUCUUUUACUUGUUCCAAGAAUCCUGGGCCUGAGAUGUUGGUAAAAAGUGGUUUCUCUUCCUUGAUGGCGGGGUUGGUUUUCAUAGGUUGAGAUUGUGGUACCAAAAGGAUCUUCCUAUUUAACCACCAAAAUAUGAAAGUAUUAUCCCGUCCCUUAUAAGUGGCAUAAACAUCAUAGUGCCAUGGACGACCCAAUAAAAUGUGAAAAGCAUCCAUAUCCACCACAUCACAUAUAAUUUCAUCUUUGUAAUAUUUUCCAAUUGACAAAGGAACCUUACAAAUCUCUAAAACUUAAACUUCCGGGCCCUUUUUAAUCCAUGCAAUCUUGUAUGGCGAAGGGUGUCUCUCAGUCUUCAGAUUUAGAGCCUUUACCACUGCUUUCGAAAUAACAUUCUCACUACUACCGCUGUCAAUGAUCACAUUGCAUAUCUUAUUACGAACAAUGCAUUGAGUCCUGAAGAUCUUGUGUCGUUGAGAGGUAUCUGGCCCUUUGGAGCAAGCAAAAGGCGUUGGAUAAUGCACGCCAAUUCUUCCCCUGUAUUUGCAUCUGCAACAUCACCCCCCUCAUAAUCAUUAUCUUCAAGAUUUUGCUCUUCCCCACUGUCGCCUUCUUUUGCAAAGUUAAUGGAUCUUCUAUUUGGACAGCUAUUUGAAAAAUGACAUGGUUGAUUACACCGAAAGCACUUCCCCAGAUUAGGACGUAUAUACGGGUCAUUAUUGAUUCGUGGCUGUGUUUGAUUUCUGCCUUAGCUCUUAGAUCGAACAGGGGCGAGAGUUCCUCUUUGAUUCUGUGUUGAAUUUUGAAUUGGAGUAGCAUCCUUGCUGUUAUUAUUGUUGUUAUUUGAGAUUGUUGCACCCUUUGGAGUAGUAUAAGUUUCUUGAAUUGGCCUUCGAAAAUUUCCUUGAGUACGGGCUGUAGUUUUAUUCAUCUGAUUUUCCACUUUCAUUGUUAAAUUGACUGAAUCUGUCAUGGUCCAAAUUUCUUGAAGGGCCAAUCGAUCUUGAAUGACUAAUUUCAAGCCUCCUAUAUAACGAGCAAUUAAUUGAGCUUCAGUUUCAGACAAAUUAACUUGAGCAUUUAAUCGAUAGAAUUCCUUUGUAUAUUCAUUUACUGUCCUGUUAUUCUGUCGACAAUUCUAAUACUGCUGGUAAAAAAAUUGUUCAUAAUCCGAAGGAAGAAAUCGCCUUUGCAACAAACAUUUCAUCUUGGGCCAGGUUUGUACAUGUUGCUUUCCUUGUCUUUGACGAUUAAACUGUAAUUGUUCCCACCAUGCAGAAGCUCCAUCUUUUAAUUUGUACGCUACUAGUUUAACUUGACUUUGUUCCGAAAUAUUUAAAUAGUCGAAAAAAAUUUAACAGUGUGGAUCCAAUCCAAAAAAUCUUCAAUAUUUAAUCGAUCGUCAAAACUUGGCAAGUCCAUCUUCAUCUUAAAUUCUUGAACAUUGGGACCUCAAUUGUUAGCCCUCGGUCUAAAAUUUUCUUCUUCUUCGGAUGAAUAGUUGAUCCCCCGUGGCCGUCUUUGAAAGCCCCUAUCCCUUGGUUGACAAUUAGGGUGCCCAUGCAAAUCAACAUCCCUCGGUCAACAAUCAAAAUUUAAUCCUCGUCUGAAAUUAAACAUUCGGUCAAAAUUGUCUACGUGGUCAAUAUUAUUUCUUUGGUCAAAAUUGUUGUCUUGGUCAAAAUUAUAUUUUUGGCCAAAAUCAUCAAAAUCACGUUCCCUCAAAUCAAAUUGUUCAUCUGCCUCUCGUUCCUCUCUUAGUGUUGCUCGCGGUCGAACACUGGCUCUGCCGUCGCCGUCGGCUGGGACCCUUCGUCGGAGGUUGGCGUCAUCACGUAGACCACCGUGACCUCUAUUCCUCCUUUCAUACACUUGUAGUGGGAUGGACUCGCGGAAAUCACGAUUCGCGAUUGUGUAGCCGCGCCGACCAAGAGGGCUAGGGCUCUGUUGCUGUGGACGGUCAUCUGCAAAGGCCUGGUGUCGUCUCUCCUGGCUUGGGUCGACGUGGGGUUGGGGUAUAGGCAUCAAUCCCAUACUGGUUGCAACUCUUGGACUUUUUACUUCCAGGUGAGUGUCUUCGUCGGAAUCUGAAUCAUCUUCUUUCUGUUGGAUUGGUUGUUUUCGCAAUGUAUUCAUUGUAAUUUAAUUUUUCUCCUUGCUGUCGUGUUCCUGGAACGUGUCUGUUCGUCACAGGUAACGCAGUUACCAUCUGCUUGAGAUUGCGAAGAGCUUCGUCGAUCCCCUUGAUUCGUUGUUCGAGUUUGUCGAUCCUCCGUUCGUCGUCAGCGGUCCGACUGCCUUCAGUACCUUCAUCAGCCAUCGAAUUAAGGUGAAUUCCUUGCUCUAAUACCAAUUUUGGUGCGGAAGCGUGUUUGAAUUCUUUUAAUAAGAAUUAUAAUGAAAGAAAUAUGAAACGAUAUAGGAAUAAUAUGCUUCUAUUGAUUGAAUAAUGAAUAAUUGAUUGAAAAUUGUACAAUAGCUUCUAUAUUUAUAGGCAAAUUAUUCCUAUUCCUAACAGUACUAGGAAAUUGAAAUAAGGAAACUAGUGAACUAAUAAAACUCUAUUCUAAUUAAAACUCUCAAUAAAAUAAAAGUCCUAAUACAAUAAAACUAAAAAGAAAAUAAAGUCUUAGAAAAUAUACUAAAAUACAAUUGUAGUAGGAAUCCUAUUGUAGUUGUACUACAUCAUCCACCCCAUGGUUCACUAUGUCAUCAUCAAAGGAUUUUAAUUCCUGUUAAAAUAUCAUUAUGAAGUACAUCAUUCAAUUAUACCAGUGAUUGUAUCAUAUUUGAGACAAAUAAUUACAUUUGUAUCUAUGCCUGAGUUGCAUAUAAGGUUUUAAAUUUUAGUGAAUUACCUAGACCCAAUUUGAGGACACAACUUCAUGAACUCAAAACAUCAAACGAGAAUAGCAUCUGUGUUCAUCAAGGAACUAAAAACGAAUCACAAACAUUAUUGACAAAAAGGAAAAAUUACCUGGGCAGGAUAGGUCUAGCCUCCGGUAACAUACUGAAUGACGGAAUAUAUAUAAAGAAACCUAGCUGGGUAAACGACAGGCCCUGUAUCACCUUUCAAUUUGUUGUAAUCUUUUUCUCCUCCCAAAACCCACUGACCUUUAAUAAAUUAAGUUUUAAGUAUAAAAAUUUUGUUGAAAAAUCCAAUUAAAUUGAAUGCAAAAUAUAAAAAUUAUGAACUUCUACUCUUACCUGUGACAUAGAUGAAUCCCAAUCAAUUCUCGUGUCUGAAAUUACAAAAAUCAAAAAAUUAGAAUCACAAAAAAAGAAAAGUUAAUUCAAAACAUGUGAACAAGCUUGAAUUCACAGGGAAUGUAGGUGAUGACGAGAGGCCCUGUAUCACCUUUCAAUUUGCUGUAAUCUCUUCGUCCUCCAAGAAACCCAUCGGUCGAGAUGAACAGCGACCCAACAUUGGUGAGAAACACCGCCAAAAUCCACAGAAAUUAAUGUUUAGAAAACGUACGCCCAUCAAUAACAACCUCCGAAGGCCUAAAUGCGUGGAAGCAAAAAAAAAAAAAAAAAAAGAUAUUUUGAAGUUCAAUAAUGUCCAUUAAUCAGGAGCUUUUCUUGGACGGCUAGAAAAUGAAAAGGGAAAGUAAUAAAAGUAGCAGAACAAGGUAAAGGUGAGGAUGGCUUUAUGAGAUUAGAAGAUAUUUACUGAUGAACAGUACGAAACCAGCUUGUAAACAAUGUUUAUCGAGUUAAGGUGUGAAACGGAGUGAUACAAUAAUGAAUAGUAAAUUGCUAUCAUCAAAAAAAUGUUGAACCCAAACUUUAAGGGUCCCCCACUGCCCCUAUCUUAGAGUGUCGUGAGGGAGGUAAAUCGCAGGUUAUGCCUCCAAAGGUAAAGAGUGGAAGGUUGCUUGUACACUUGUACUUAUUCAAGAGCCAAAUCCAUAUUUCAGGAUUCGAACCCUUGAUGAUAUUUUGAAGUUCAAUAAUGUCCAUUAAUCAGGAGCUUUUCUUGGACGGCUAGAAAAUGAAAAGGGAAAGUAAUAAAAGUAGCAGAACAAGGUAAAGGUGAGGAUGGCUUUAUGAGAUUAGAAGAUAUUUACUGAUGAACAGUACGAAACCAGCUUGUAAACAAUGUUUAUCGAGUUAAGGUGUGAAACGGAGUGAUACAAUAAUGAAUAGUAAAUUGCUAUCAUCAAAAAAAUGUUGAACCCAAACUUUAAGGGUCCCCCACUGCCCCUAUCUUAGAGUGUCGUGAGGGAGGUAAAUCGCAGGUUAUGCCUCCAAAGGUAAAGAGUGGAAGGUUGCUUGUACACUUGUACUUAUUCAAGAGCCAAAUCCAUAUUUCAGGAUUCGAACCCUUGAUACGGCACCCUUAAGCAAAGCUGGAUUUCUCCACCUUCCCCUUUUAUCACUUGGAGAUGUGCCUUGGGGGCGAAAUUGCUAUCAUCUCUUUUAAGAGAGGAAGGAUUUAUUGUCUUAUAUUAUUUAGUUCACAAUGUUAAAAAACUCAUUGGUUCAUUCCAGUAUAAACUUUGAUGUUUUUAAUUUCGUUUUUGUUAUUGCUCAAACGAAAGAAGCGAAGAAGGGAAAUUUUGAUAGAUUAUAGAACUAUAAUGAAAUAUACAAUCAACCAACAUUUAUCGAAUUUCAAAAACUAGAAAAGUUUGGAUAGAGCUUGAUCUAAGCAUUGGCUACAGCUUUAAGUAAGAGGAGUAGUUAUGAACACUGAAUACUAGACGUAAAUUGCAUUCAUGUUUUUGUCCAUUUUUUAUUUCAACCGAUGAUAUUUAUAUAGAAAAUUCAUAAGCUACACUUCAAAUUUGGCAAAUCAUUACAACUUGUGGUGGAGAAAUUCACAUGCUUCCUCCUCAUAUUACCAACACAGUUAUUACGAACAGUAGAGAAACUAAAUAGUUGAUGUGGACAAUAUAUAUAUAUAGAUUACAGCUUGUUAUAUAAGAAGUUAUAUAAGAAGAAUCACUUCAUUGAUACUGAAAUUACUAGUGCACAUAUAUCAUCAAUUAGAUGUCGAUGAAAAUGCAUCUUUAUUUGAAUCUUCACGCUACAUCAGAGCUUCAAAUUUUUCAUCCUACAUGUGAACGAUACGAUAGUUUUAGUUAAAUAUAUAAUAAAAUCGAUAAGAAGUCAGAAUCCCUCCCAAUUUGAGUUUUACUCAUAUCUCGAAUGAAUUCAAGAACAUAUUCAAAGAAAUUCUGAUCUGGUCGGAAUAGUUUGAGGGUUCGGCCACUUCUAUGCGUGUGUUUAUGAACACACAUGUUCUUGAACCAAUACAAAUAAGUUGGUGACUAUCUUAUUUACAUAGUGAAAUGUGAAUGGCAUACUCCUGUACUAUUUGUGCUUCCUGGCCAGGGUAUAAGACAAAAAAUUUCAUGGACCGGUGACCAACAUGAUCUUAUGGCAUGGAUGUUAUUAAGUUCUUAGACUAGCAUCCUAGGAAAUACAAGAUUAUUGCAUUUAUUUAGUGCAUGUUUUGUUUGGACUAAACAAUGAGAAUAUACAUGUGCUAUGUUACAGUUCAAACAAUUUAUUGGUGGCUACUCUUCUCAGACAUCGAAUGUCUGUUUAAUUAUGAUUUUAGUAUCACAGGUGCGUAGAUACAAAUAUAUAUUUAGAGAAAUAAUCUAUUAAAACACAGAUGAUAUGACACAUCAAUGGAGUGGAUAAACAUAAUUUAUGGUUGAUUGCAAUAUUUGAAUUAAAUUUGUCAUCCACCUAUAGAUCAAUUAUCCAUGUUGGUGGUGUUUAGCAGAUCAUUUAUCUAUAUAUAUAAUGCACGUAGGAAUGUCGUGUGAAAAAGUGUUGAGAAGGAAGUGACUUAGUCUUGAGGCUAUAUGAGAGGAAAACGCAAAGCUGGAACAUUAAGGUGACAAGAUCAUUUUUUGAUAUUAGACUGGUAAUUUAAACUUUUAAACGAGGUAGUUCAACGUUCAUGUUACCUUUGCUCCCGUCUUUCACAUUACCACCUCCAGUAGUCUUGUAGUUAGGGAAGGGGAUAUGGCCACUCUCGAUACACUUGAUAUCCUCCACAAGGAUUUCAUAAUGCCUCUUCACUUCUUCCGCAGUUUUCCCUCCGAUGGCCUUGGCGACACUGUCCCAACGGUCCGGUGUGUCCUUAUCGUACACAGCCAGAGCCUUCUCAAAGGCCUUGUUCUCCCUAGCUGUCCAAGUGCCUGAGCCAUGGGAUGACAUUCAGCCUGAUGCAAUUUGAUUGAAUUUAGACAAGUAUGAACCGCUAAAUAAAAUGGAAUAGCCGAAAGAAGACAAAUAGCAAAAAGAAUGCAGAAGAGAUUGAGACUUCAGUUAAAACACAGAAGUGAAAAACUGAUAUGUGCAUAGAGGCAGCAAAUGCUAGUUCUUUUAUAAGCUCCAGGAGAAUGGGGGAGGUGGGGUCGUGCAAGUUGGCCUAUAAAUGCCAAAGAUUGAAGAUUUUUUAUGAUUUGUCUUAAUCCAAACGACAACUGAAGAAGGACAAAGAACAGUAACAAAUUUGAAGAAUCUCCAGCUUCAAGAAAUUGUAAUUUCACUCUUCAUUUUCUUUCUUACAGUUUACUGAGCCGGGCUGUCCAUGUGGCUGUAUAGCCAAGCAGGCACCCGAAGGCCUUUAUUAUCUUUUUGGAUUUUUAUUAUUAUUAUUAUUUUUUGAUUUUUUUUAAAGAAAAUCUAUAAAAAUAAAAUAAAAUUGAAAAAGGUAUUGAAACCGGUUACUCGCCUUACCCAACAGGGCACUGUAGACCACCCUCACCUUAAGGUUAGUGUCUUGUCGGACAACCAUGUCGCUAAAGAAAUGUUCUAAUCGCUUGCAAAGUGCAAUCCUAGUGAAAAUAGCAAUGCUCCAUCGAUGAGAGCUAGGCUAUAACUUGAACAUGUGUCUUUAAACGUCGAAGGUGUAGGUUUAUAUCUCACAUAUUAUGAAUUUCUCUCCGUGAUCAAAGAGUCACUCGUAAAUUAUAUCGGAUUACCUAAUAACACUCGUGUGGGUCAAAUUCGACGACUGUCCAAAAGAUCUCAGAAUUUUCGAGAGACUAUCAAUAAUUCCAUGUUUAUUACGAUGGAUUGGGUGAGUAAUGAAUCUUGUCCAGCGUACCAAACAAAUGAUCUUGUAACUACUUUACCUUCGUCCUUAACAAUAAUCCAAGGUCUUAUAGCUGUCCUGCUGAGUCCGUACAAUGAUUGUGUUCCCCCAGAAUCUCGUUUUUAAGCGAGAGUAGGGCAGCUCAGUUCUCUCCCUUAUUGGUGCUAGGUCACCUGCCCAGAAAAGGUUCUCCUGUUUCAUUCAGUAUGAAGAUUGAUUUCGUGUAGUUUCACUAUUAGACAUGUUUUUUUAUAUGAUUUUUAUCAAUAAAAAUCCCCUGAAUUUCUGUUCGGAAUCUUCUGAAGAUCUGCCAUGGUUAAAAAAAUAUAUUAACGUCCUGUGUUGCAGCAUGCCUGUAUUAAGGAAGAAAAAGAAGUUGAGGGUUGUGUUCAUUUUAUUUCCUAGUUCGAUUAAAUACUCCGUAACUUAUGGUUCUUGUUCAAGUAGAAUAUUAAGCUUAAGUUCUAAUUGCAGCUUCACGGCGGUAUUUGAAGAUUAUCAUCACCGAGGUCGAAUGCAAGGUGUAUGCCAUGUUCAUGUGCAUUGGAUGAUUCGCGUGUAGAAAUCAGGCAUCCAUGAGCACUUGAAGUGAACUCAAUUUAUGCAGUGAUGUGAAUGAACACAAGAAGCAUCAUGAUUUUUGAUAUUCAAAAUCGUUCUUCAGAAAAGCUAUGAACAUCGAAAAUGAAAAGAUGCUGACAGUGAGUUCCAUAUCAGAUUUAAUCUGCCGGGUGAUAUUGACAAAAAAUUUCCCUUUUAAGGACUUAAAACUUUCAAAUGAUAUGAUUCAAUUAGGUGGGUUAAUGUCUACCGCACUUGAAACUACAAGUGUUCAGUGUAAUAAAGAAAAGUAAAACUUCGAUCUGUGGUCGAAGGCUUAAGCAUGCUUGAGCACUCAAGAAAUAGAAUUUUCCUUUGUUUUAUUGGUUCUUGAGUCAUAAUAAACAUAUUCAAGGUGAGAAACAUAGUUCGCAUCAUCUUUUAAUUUGAUUGUUUAUUAAAUGAGAUGGGCUGGACAGACUCCGUCCAGGGCGCCGAAUGGAGGGGGUGCCAAAUUGCCGCGUUGGCCCUGUCCAAUUUGGAGCCCUGUCCGGUUAGCAAAGUUCACAUAGGUUUUAUUAAUCAAACUUUUCCUUCAGUCCAUGAUGAAGGUGUACGAUGAUGAUCUUCCUGAAAUAAUAAUAUCAUACAAGUGAUGGGCAACAGACAUGAAAUCAUAUGACAGAAUCUGAUUUUGCUCCAGUUGGCCAGUUGGGUUGAUUUACUCUUCCUUUUCAUUUGAUUCUUGGCACAGAAUUUUCAAUAAAAGAUAAUGUAAGAUAAGGAGUUUCUGUUAAAACUUGGGGCCCAUCUUAAUAAAAUCAACCUUGAUAAGAGGAGUAGCUCAAGAUUUUUUUUAAGUUGGCCAAUAUUUUGAUAGUUAACCGAUGUGAAAUUUUAUCCCUUAAUACGUCCCCGCAAGAUGGUGGCUCAUUUGAGCAGACCAAUCUUGCGAUCCGUUGCUCAUUAAUUAAGAUUUAUAAUCAGAUCAAAUUGUUCGUUGGAGUUUAAUGGGUUCUGAUACCAUGUAAGAUUUGGGGUCCAUCUUAAAAAGGUUAAUCUUGUUAAGAGAAAUAGCCCAUGAUCUUUUUAAAUUGGUCAAAAUUUCGAUAUUUAAAUGGUGUGGGAUUUUAUCCCUAACACUUUCAUCACUCCAUACGGCCUGGGACUUCUUUAUUGAGUCUUCAAUUUCCCUUUUAUAAGUUUAACUUCGUUAAGAGAAGUAGCUCAAACUUUUAUAGAUUAAAUUAUUAUUUUCAUAUUUGCAAGUCAGUAGAAUUGGUAAUUGAGUUGCAUUCAACGUCAGUCGAUAAUUGGCUGACUGCAAAGUAUACAGGUUCCUGUACAAAUUUCCUUUCCUUGUAAAAUUAACAGUUUGGUUAGUCCAGUAGCCGAGGUGAGUUUGUCAACCGAAUAGACUUUGAUUGCCAAAACCAGAAAAGGAUUUUGGAAAGUGCGUGCAAUUUUUUGAUGGUGAGUGUAUUUCAGCAUAAGUUCGUACGAUUGCGUGUAUGUCUAUAUACAAAAACCUUUCCUUUUUAACCCCAACUUUAAGGGUCCCCCACCGCCCCUACCCUGGAGUAUCGUGAGGGAGGUAAAUCGCAGGUUAUGCCUCCAAGGGUACAGGGUGGAAGGCUGCUUGUACACUUGCACUUAUCCAAGAGCCAAAUCCAUAUUUCAGGAUUCGAACUCUUGACGCGGCAGCCUCAAGCAAAACUGGAUUUCUCUACCCUCCUCUCUUUACCACUUGGAGAUGUGCCUUAGGGCAAAUACCUUUCCUUUUAUUAUAAUGCGUGAUAGGUGACUUUCAUGAUAAGGUUCGAGUUCUUAGGCCACUCAAUAACAAAUUACAGACUUUUUGACAAAAUUUAGCCCCCUAUUUUAUGGCUAUUAUUUUGGAAAAAAAUAAUUUUUUUAACAGUGAUUUUUUGGAGAAUAGAUGUUUAAAAAGUAGAAAAAAUUUGAUUUUACGUACAAAAUAUUUUCUUGUGUAAAUGUGGAAUUGAAAUAAGUAUGAGAAUUAAAGAAUUUUAUUUUAAAUGGAAACAAACAAGAGCUCGGUACGAUAUGAUUGUUGGGCUUAGGUGGCAAUCAUCUGAGUUAUGUACAAGUGGACAAACACGUCAUUCUAGGUGUUGCCACAUAGGAGAUAGUCUAACGACUAUUUACCAAGUGACGUGAGUUUACAACAUGAGCUUAGUGGGACAACUUGGUUGUCUUCGGAACCAAAUAUAGCAUAGCGCCUGUUUGGGAUAAAUAUUCAUUUGGAAUAUAAUCAAUUAUUGUACCAUUGCUGUUGUCAUUUUUUUUACUUCCUUCUCAAUAAAAGCCAAACAUUGAUACCCAUUGCACUUUGCAAUGGUAUAAAAAUUAAUUUUAAUCUUGUAAAAAGUAGAGCUAGACAAGGCAUAGACUCAUUCUUGGGCUCGUGGUUCAUAUUGUUCUUUCAUUUAGAUGAUGUGACAUUUUAAUUGAUCUAAGGACAUAUAUUCAUACCUUUUUUUUUUUUUUUUUUUUAAUGAUGGGAGAACCCGUAACCGCUAAUUUUUGGAUGCGCACUGAGUAAACCAUCGGGCUAACGCAAUAGACUGCGAAUCACACUAGUAAGAUAAAUUGCACUAGGCAAGUUCGGUGUGACGGACUUGACCAGAAAAGUGUUGAUAGGGGGAACCGAUUGUAUGUCCAAAGAUUAUGGCAACUUUUCAAUUUACAAAGGACACAUUUUCAUUGGAUGACCAUAAAUAUCUGUUUGGAAAGAAGUCAGCAAUUCUAAAACAGAGAAUUUAAAAGGUAAAUAUCGUAGCCGAAAGUGGAGUAGAGUAGCCCCUAUCUAUGGCCCUAUGUACACUAAAUUCUUGCAACUUGAUUCAAUUGAAUCUAUCCAUUUUCGGUGCCUCUUAAUGUCUUCAAAUCUUAGACUAUGAUGCCUCCCAAGAAUCUUAGAAAUUUAGUGAAAUAUACUCAGAAGUGUCCUCUUCAGUCAAGAUCCUGUAGAACCUUGACCAUCAUAAGCACUUGGCGCAUCUUGUCUAAUCUUGUAAGUAGCUUAUUUGGGUUUUCCUUUUUGGCCAUAGAAUACCCAAAUAAGCUAUUUACAAGCUGAGCCGAAUAUGCCAUAGACACGAGUAGCGAUUAGCGGUCAGGACACAUCUCAUCGGAUCCAAAAAACUGCUGUUAGCAAUAGAUAAGAAUUCUCUUGGUAAAAGAUAUGGGUUUUUUUCACUCAUCGUGCAUAAAAAAUCUUGAAAAAAAAUCCUACUCCCCAAUCUUAUACAGUAUACAAAAUGUCCUUACUGUUUUGCAUUAUGCUCGUAUUAACCCAGAGUUGCUUUAGAAGAAUCUUUGAACCGUGUUGAUUUAGGUAACACCAAUUAAUUCUGAAUUUAGACGCGAUCAUGCGAACACUAGUCAAUGUUUCUUUACUGCUGUUAGGAGAUUUCAAUGAAAAUUUGAACCAAUAAUUCAUAUUUGUUUACGAUCUUUCAUUGCUGUUGUGAAGCCAUUAGGUGUAAGCAUUUAACUCCGUGGGUGAUGGAAUUUCUUUACUUGCAUUCUUGCUAGUGUUAAAAUUUAAGAUUCCGUUUUAAAAUGUCAAACUCAUUAAUAGAAGUAAUUGAAACCCUUAUAUGUUAUUUGAUCUACAACCAAUUUAGAAUUUAUUCCUUAACAGCUAGCACUAUCUAAGCUUUGUUCUUCACGUCCUUAAUACCAUCAUGCAGCAUUUCCUCCUAAAAGAAAACGUAGCAUUCUUCAACAUAAAUUUCGGGUCAAAAUGCUUGCUUAGAUAAAUUUCAAGAGCUUUUGUGGUUAAAACACCUUGCUAUUCCAUGUCCCGAAUUCUCCAUAUUUUAGCACUCUCAUAGUCUCAAUCUUGAUCACAAUGAAAAGGAAUUAUUAUAUACAACCUAAGUACCUAAUUUUGUGAAUUUACAUGCCAAAUAUAUGAUUCUAGACACUUAUCUAUUUUUGAGUGGUUUUUCAAUACAAAUUUCACUUCUAUUCUUGCCAUCUUUUCUCUCACCCCAAAAUUACUAGACAAUGUGACUGGAGUUAUUUGGAAUUCUUGAAGUUGCUGGUGGUUGCAGGAAACUACUCGUAUCUUCCAAAACAUCCAAAUUACAAGAUUAAGCCCCUAUUUGUCAUUUGAGCCCCAUUAAAUUUAUAAUACAUUUUCCAACAAAAUAAUGUUAUACAUAAACAAAAAACUUUUACUUCUUUUUCAACCGUACAUUCUUCAAAAAAUCACUAUUCCAAAAAUUAUAAAAUCAAAUAGUAGGGGCGAAACGGGGGCUAAAUGUUAUAAGAAAUAUGUCCUCAUUUCAUAAUUGCUUGAUAAGAUGCUGAAUGAAGGAUUAUCUCAGAUUCUCCAUAUCAUUCUUGUUGUGUGAAAAUAAAUAUCUGUUUGGAAAGAAGAUGGCAUUUCUAUUUGAUCUUAGCCGAAAGUGGAGUAGAGUAGCCCCUAUCUAUGGCCCUAUGUACACUGAAUUCUUGCAAGUUGGUUCAUUUUGAAUCGGAUUUUGCAAAAGGUACCCGAAAUUCUUGCAAGUUGAUUCAUUUUGAAUCGGAUUUUGCAAAAGGUACCUGGAAUUCUUGCAAGUUGGUUCCGGAUUUUUACACUCCGGGUUAUCCGUUUCUCACAUGGGGGGUAGGUCCCAAGCAUUUAUUGGGUGUGAGACUCGACCUCCACGUGGGGGGCGGGUAACCCGGAGUGUAAAGUUUCAGGUACAAAUGACAAAAUCAUUUUGAAUAUACUUGUUUCUAGAAUCCAAAAAACUACAAUGAGUUAAAAGGAAUAUAUAUAAUAAAACUCUUCUACUAGAAAAUGCUUGACAUGUUGGUUGAUAGUUACUCACAUUCGCAUGGGACUCGAGCCAACCCCACAUGAAUAAAAAAUGCAAAAAAUUGAAGCCCCCACCCCUUCUUGUGUCUACUCUGUCAAGAAGAGUGUAAAGCCCCUCUUGUACAACCUGCACGGUUGGAAUAUAUAUGGUGUCUUUGGGUGAGUAGUUGGUACAAAUGAAAUAGGAAUUUGUGGAUUGUGGGCUGUCUCUAAUGUAAGACCCAAAACACCAAAAUGCAUCAUAUUUUGGUGCAAAACAAUUACAAUGCAACACUAUACUUUGCACUAUUUUGGUGCAAAAGUAUACAAAGUCAUUUUUACCCUUUCUUUUCAUUUCUCAAAUAAAUUGAUUAAGGGUAUUUGUAUCAUUUGUGUUAUAUAUUUUUAAUACAAUAAAUUAUUAUUAUUAUUAUUAUUAUUAUUAUUAUUAUUAUUAUUAUUAUUAUUAUUAUUAUUAUCAUUUAAAAUAAAUUUUAAAUGUAAAAAAUAAUAAUUAAUGAAUUAAAUAAAAGAAGAAAAAAUUCUAAAAUAUAACAAGCACAAUUAUUUGCAAUUUGAAAUGCAAAAAUCAAUAAUUUAUGGGAAGAACAUAUGAAUUCCGAAAAUUAAAUUGCAAUAAUAUUUCGACUUUGUAAUAUUGUAAUAUCCUAACUCGAAAUGCAUUGCACUAUUUUUUAAUGACAUAAUUUAAUAUUUUCAUUGUUGUAGUGUUUUUAUUAAUUGCACUAUGUUUUUUAUAUUUAUUAAUGAAUUUAAUUUUUUCUGUAAUUUAUGUAUUUUUAAAAUAAAUUAUUAAUUAAUAUUUCAAAUAAAUAAAUUAUUAAGAAUAAAAAAGAAAAAAAAAUGGUUAAACAUUGUUCAUUUGAUAUAAUUUUUGGUGUAAUGGUUGUAGAUGAAUUUUAACUUGGUGUAAGAUUUAGUGCAGUACUGAAGAUGGUCUUGAGGCUUGAAACACCCAGAGAUGAAUUUUUUCAGGCUUAUUGUCGAACUUUGGUCCUCGAUAUCAAAUAUGUAUGAAUAAUACCACAUUUGGGUGUGGAUGAGUUUCACUGCAGGACUCGAAGAUCUUUCAAGCCAAUGGAAUUUUGGCAUGGUUUUCAUAUGGCGUUCGAGAGAUUUCUCAAUUUAUCUAUAAAAUUCCAUAAUAACUUUCUCACAUAAGACAACAAAUGAUAUGUGAUUAACAGAAGUAUCCCAGGUGAUCUUAUAGAACCUUAACCAUCACAUGGACUUGAUUUGGAAGAGUCGAGCACACUCGCAACAUGACUAGCUAACAUAUGUCUAAGAAGACUCUGGCAAACACGAGCCUCUUUCCCAGACAGUGCUCGGAUGAUCUAGACAAAGAUCCUCACAGUAAAAGUUACUGGUUUUGUUGCUCAUCGAUGCAUAGAAAAUUUUGAUAAAAAAGAGACUCUGGUCCCUUUGGAACAAGUUGCUUAUGAUUCUCCUCUAAUGAUUAGUUGAAAGUUACAUUCGCAUGUCCAAGAAUCUAUACAUCGAAAAGACAAAUCUUGGGAAUUUAGAGAAACUUUCUAUAGAUAUUUGGAAUCUUUAUCAUUGGGUCUAUUUUGCUGGUCCUUCCUACUAGUUGGAGAAUGCGAACAAUUGGGAUUCAUAUUCGUGUUCUUUGUGAUUUUGCCAUAUUUUUCUGAUCUCGUUUUAUUAUUUCCUCAACAGUUCGCAGUCAGUGUAGAAUCAUUUGUUUUAUAAUUAUUCGUAACCCUACAAGUACCAUUUUUCUGUUUGUAAUUCUUAAAUAGAAAAGAUAUACAAUUUAUAUUAUUCUCUUCUUUGUUUCUAUCUCAAUUGGCAUUUAGUUUCUAAAUUCUAACAGAGUUUUGCAGAUUGUAUGUGGCUAGCAUGCUUGAUUUUGUGUAGCAGGAGACAAAAGUACGAAAUUUCAUUAUGGGAUUUGCUUUUAGAACAUAUCAUUUCAUUGCAAGAAGUUCUUGAAUUUCUGCUAAGAAUUAAUAGAUUCUGCGGAAAGAUACAAAAUUAUUGGGGACACUUCCUCAUACUAGAAGAAAAUAUAGAUUCUGUGACAUGACAGAAAGGCAUCAUUGGAUUCUUUAUUCCUGAAUCUUGAUUUAUAUUGGUGUAGUACUAAAAUCAUUUAGUUAAAAGAAACCAGUAAGCUGGAUCGAUUCGACUAGUCCACUUGUCUCUUUUUUUUCUCUACUUCCCCCUCGUGAAUGUUCGAACUUGAGGUACAUUUUGGACCAAUAUUUUAAUAAUCAAUUUUGUUAUGUUUAAUCUUGUUAUUGUAAUAUUUCGUAAUAGAGACAAAUGGCAUCUAGUUCUUUAAGUAACACCCUACCUUACGACGAUUAGUUUUUUGAAUUUGUAAUCUCCAAUUGGAAAUCAUAUAAUAGAAUAUUGAGUUUUUCAAAAUAUGUUUGUUAAAUUUUUCGAAAGUGAAAGGGGAGAAAAAGGUCCUAAGUUGCUAAAAAUAUAUAUGACAAAGGUCCUAACAAACUAUAUAAUGUCAUGGGAUCAUGCCGCACUUACAAACUUUUUUUACAAAAUUCUUUACUCACUAUUCACAAUAGGAGGUGGGGAUCACGAGCCGACAUUUUUUAAAUUAACGUGGAGGCCACUUGUUUGUGGGAGUGAAUAACCCAUUUUGUACACAUUUGUUUGUACAUAUAUAUUUAUCCUAAUGUCAUUUGUGUUCAUGUUGUAAUUCAAGAGUGACAUAAUGAUACUAUUAAGUAAUUUACUUUAAUGACUAUUUUAAAAUUUUUAAUGAACUUCAGUGACCAUUUCUUAGUAUUACUCGAAGUACAAAAAUAUCUUUCUGUUUGAAUUUCACUACUGGACGAGAAAUUCUUGAAUUUCUGCUAAGAAUUAGUAGAUUCUGUGGAAAGAUACAAAGUUAUUGGGGGACACUUCCUUAUACUAGGAGAAAAUAUAGAUUCCGUGAGAUGAUAGAAAGGCAUCAUUGGAUUCUAUAUUCCUGAAUCUCGAUCCAUAUUGGUGUAGUACUAAAAUUUUUAAACCAGUAAGCUGGAUCGAUUCGACUGUCAACUCGUCUCUUUUUUUCUCAACUUACCCCCUCAUGAAUAGUCGAACUUGAGGAAUAUUCUCGUCCAAUAUUUUAAUAAUCAAUUUUUUUUAAUGACGGGGGAACCCGUAGCCGCUACCUUUCGAGUAUGCACUAGGUAAACCCUUGGGUUAACAUAAUAACUUGCAAAUCAUGCCAGCCAAGUAAACUUCACUAUGCAAACCCGAUGUGACAGGCUCGAUCGAAAAAAGUGUUGGUAGGGGGAAUCGAAUUCGUGACCAAAGGUUUUCGCGCUCGCCUACUUCACCAACUUGAGCACCCCAUCAGGGGCUUUUAUUAAUCAAUUUUGUUUAUGUCUAAUCUUGUUAUUGUAAUAUUUUGUAAUAAAGACAAAUGGCAUCUAGUUCUUUAAGUAGCACCUUACCUUACGACCAUUAGUUUUUUGAAUUUGUAAUCUCCAAAUGGAAAUCUAUAAUAAAAUAGUGAGUUUUUCAAAAUAUGUUUGUUAAAUUUUUCAAAAGUGAAUGGGGAGAUAAAGUUCCUAACUUGCUAAAAAUAUAUAUGACAAAGGUCCUACCGUACUAUCUAAUGUCAUUUGUGUUCAUGUUGUCAUUCGAGAGUGACAUAAUGAUACUAUUAAGUAAUUUACUUUAAUGACUAUUUUAAAAUUUUUAACGAACUUCAAUGACCAUUUCUUAGGAUUUACUCCAAGUACAAAAAUAUCUUUCUAUUUGAAUUUGACUACUAGGUAAAUUAACAUGCCAAAGUUGAAUUAGUUGCCCCUAACUUCUAAAGAUUAUGCUACUUGUACAUAAAAAUGGUACAUAAGAAAUGACAAAAUGACAUGGAGAGAAGAGAUUGAAUAAAAAAGUAGAUUGUGUUUAAACUGACAAAUGAUAGAGUGACAUACGACAUUAUGUAACCUCUUAUAUAAAACUUAAUGUACAUGUAGCAUUAAGGUCCAACUUCUAAUGGUCGACCACAAAAUACCAACGUUCGUUCUGGUAGUUUCAAGCAGCUGAGUUGUUCGGCAACAUCUUUGGAGACUUUCGAUUGAAAUGAACUUGUGAAAGAUUUGGUGUACCAUUUGGUAAUUAAAUUUGAAAUUUUAAUUUAGUACUCUUGUGCCUGAAAUUGAAAUUGAGAAUCACCUUUUCAUAUUUUUUAGAUCAAGGAGAAGUGAUUAUCUCUUCCUUCAAUGUUAUACAUUUUCCAAUAUGUAACAUACUUAUUCUCGAAUUCAACUAAUUAAAAAUAUAAUAUGUUUUAGUUAAUAUUUUAACCUUUUAGCAUUGUGUUUUCCAUGUAAAUGGAUAAUAUUGAUAAUUUAAGAGCAAUAGAAUAAGAACUUUUUGUUAAGGGAUAAUUUAUGAUGUUUCGUAAUUAAAAUAAUGACGACUAAAGGAGCACCUAUGAUAGACUUCAAAUAGUCUUGAUUUCCUUCAACAUAUCUUAGUUCGGAUUGAAAUUUUGGAAAGAAUCCUAACGAUUGAUUGAAGUGUUUUAUUUUAUUAUUAUUAUUUUUUUUCUUUCAUGAGAAUAUCAAGAAAAGUAGUUAGAUGAGGUGCCGAUAGCACUUUCCUCGCUUGAUGAUUUCUGAUUAUUCAUUUAGUGAGUUAGCUAUUUUAUUGAAAUUUUUUCGUUUGUUAAAACAUGGGAUUUAAUCGAAAAAAAUAAUAUUAUUUCCUACUCCUUGAGUAAUUGAAUGAGAAGAACCUCGUUACAUAAUAUGAUGUUUCAGUUGCUUUUAUUUCGUGAUUACUUAUAUCACAUUUUAAUUUGUUGAAACGUCGUAACAGGUGUGGUUGCAUCAAGAAACUUGCUCGAGUUAAUACUCCAUCUCUACUUGGAAUGAAAUUGAUUUUUUCUAUUAUUUUUCUUUACUUGCAAUUCCAGAUUUCUGGAGAUUGUGUAAUAUAAAUUCUAUGGAUUUGCAGUAUGAGAAAGCUACAUUUAUUUUGAGUAAGAACGAUCCAUCGGCUGUGUUAGCCAAAGUCGAAGCCAAUUAGGAAACAAAUAAAUUACUUGCAAAAAUUCAAAGUUUUCCCGCACUUGAAAUUUGAGACAUGGAUGCAGUGUUGUUCAAGUGAAUAAAGGAUCUCUUGAUACUUAUGGAAUUGUCACUUAUUUGAAACAACAAAGUGGUCCUGCAUACACUGAAAUGGGAUCUGCUACAGAGAUAGGGGGAGGGAACAGGGAUUAGGGACAGGUCGAGGUGCUGCAACCUCGGCCUUUGAUUUGCAUUUUUAAAAUUCAGAUCAAGGAUCGAGGUCGCGCCAUCUCGACCCUGUCCAUUUCCCCUGUCCUCUUAGCAUUUCUGUAAUCAACCAACAAAAAGAUUCUUGGGUGAAUUGGAAUGAGCACGAAGAAAUUAAUGAUCGUUGUGCUAUAUCAAUUGCUCAAGAUCUUUGGUUUCUACUAGAACUGAUGAAAAUUGAGAUAAUUUCUUUUUGGAGUAGUUGUGAAUUAUUCAAAUCUAGUUCAUUGUCAAUUAGAAAUUAAAAAAGAGGUACUCAUCAUUAUGAUGUCUUUGUCAAAGUUUCAUUUGCCACUAUUCUCCUAUCCCUCGUUUGUGUACAUUUUUUGGGGAAUGAGUUAAUUAAAUGAACGGUCAUUAAACUUAUCACUAGGUUACGACUUGCUCAUUAAACGUGGCAUAUUGAUGACGGUUAAAUUUUUAAGUUAAUUAAAUAAAUGUUCAUCAAACAUGUCAUUUUUAGAGGAUAAUCAUAAAAUAAAUGAGCGUUAAACUUAAUUAAAUAAAUGCUCAUAGAGUCCUAAAUCUGCUUUGAGGUUUCUUUGUAAAGGAUGGUCUCCAGGAUUGAUCGCUCAAUGGCUUGGAAUAGAUAAUCCUCAGCUUUAAGAUCUUUAAAUUUUGGCCUUCAUUUUAUGCCUUUUGUGCAUAUGUAACUGCUAUGCUAAUUGCAUGCUCUGGAAUUCCUUUAGAAUCAACUUGCUGGCGAUCCUUUGAUUUCAAUUAGUUCUCCAUCAACAUACUCUAGUGAUCAUAGUGACCAUCAAAAUGGGGAAUUGCAAGCUACUCAAAGUUAUCGGUUGCCAUGGAUGAUUGUUGUUGCUAUAGAGAGAAAGAUACCAGUUUUAACCAAGCUCUGAUAUCACUAGUGAAAUCUCUAUUAUUUACUUAAGGAACAAAGAUAUAUAUUUAAAUACAAAUGAGGUUGAAUUCUUGACAUCUCUUAUUCAAUGAUUAUAGUUCUUUAAAUAGGCUUACAUUCAACAUCUAGAAACAAGAAAAUAGGUAUUCUUAUUUAAUUUUAUGGAUAUAAAAACCCAUACCCUAACUAUUUAGGGCCACUGUACACUACUAUUGUAAUGACCUUUUAGAAGUUACUUUGACAAGAAAACAUGGUUUUUAUAUGUGUUAUCAUUUUUAGUCUCUCCUAUUUGACAAUAAUAUAUAUUUAAAUAAAUUUUUUCUUGAAAGUAUAAAAUGAAACCAUUAGGUUUUAUAUUGUAAUUGGCUAUUCUGUGAACAAAAGGGACUUAAUUGAACAUGUUGUAAAAGUUAGGGACUUGGGUUGCAAUUUGUAUAGAUGGUUUAGGCUAGGGUUGAGUUUGGAACAAGGCCGAAGACUCGCUGAAUUUUUGCUAGUUGCUCGCCAAGUUGUUGCUCGAGCGGUUGAUGCAUAAACAUCGUCGCUUGCUUGUCACCCCUACAUCACUCGAGCGAAGAAGCUGUUGCUCGCUUCUCGUUAGAGUGUCACUCGAGCGAUAGUGUCACAUGGCCAAACUCUAGGAAGAGUCGAGCUCACUCGCAACAUGACUAGCUAACAUAAGUCUAAGAACACUCUGGCAAACAUGAGACUCUCUCCUAGACAGUGCCCGGAUGAUCUAGACAAAGAUCCUCACAGUAAAAGUUACUGGUUUUGUUGCUCAUCGAUGCAUAGAAAAUUUUGAUAAAAAAGAGACUCUGGUCCCUUUGGAACAAGUUGCUUAUGAUUCUCCUCGAAUGAUUAGUUGAAAGUUACAUUCGCAUGACCAAGAAUCUAUACAUCGAAAAGACAAAUCUUGGGAAUUCAAAGAAACUUUCUACAGAUAUUUGGAAUCCUUAUCAUUGGGUCUAUUUUGCUGGUCCUUCCUACUAGUUGGAGAAUGUGAACAAUUGGGAUUUAUAUUCGUGUUCUUUGUGAUUUUGCCAUAUUUUUCUGAUCUCGUUUUAUUAUUUCCUCAACAGUUCGCAGUCAGUGUAGAAUCAUUUGUUUUAUAAUUAUUCGUAACCCUACAAGUACCAUUUUUUUCUGUUUGUAAUUCUUAAAUAGAAAAGAUAUACAAUUUAUAUUAUUCUCUUCUUUGUUUCUAUCUCAGUUGGCAUUUAGUUUCUAAAUUCUAACAGAGUUUUGCAGAUUGUACGUGGCUAGCAUGCUUGAUUUUGUGUAGCAGGAGACAAAAGUACGAAAUUUCAUUAUGGGAUUUGCUUUUAGAACAUAUCAUUUCAUUGCAAGAAGUUCUUGAAUUUCUGCUAAGAAUUAAUAGAUUCUGCGGAAAGAUACAAAAUUAUUGGGGACACUUCCUCAUACUAGAAGAAAAUAUAGAUUCUGUGAGAUGACAGAAAGGCAUCAUUGGAUUCUUUAUUCCUGAAUCCUGAUUUAUAUUGGUGUGGUACUAAAAUCAUUUAGUUAAAAGAAACCAGUAAGCUGGAUCGAUUCGACUAGUCCACUUGUCUCUUUUUUUCUCUACUUCCCCCUCAUGAAUGUUCGAACUUGAGGUACAUUUUGGAUCAAUAUUUUAAUAAUCAAUUUUGUUAUGUUUAAUCUUGUUAUUGUAAUAUUUCGUAAUAGAGACAAAUGGCAUCUAGUUCUUUAAGUACCACCCUACCUUACGACGAUUAGUUUUUUGAAUUUGUAAUCUCCAAUUGGAAAUCAUAUAAUAGAAUAUUGAGUUUUUCAAAAUAUGUUUGUUAAAUUUUUCGAAAGUGAAAGGGGAGAAAAAGGUCCUAAGUUGCUGAAAAUAUAUAUGACAAAGGUCCUAACAAACUAUAUAAUGUCAUGGGAUCAUGCCGCACUUACAAACUUUUUUUACAAAAUCCUUUACUCACUAUUCACAAUAGGAGGUGGGGAUCACGAGCCGACAUUUUUUAAAGUCACGUGGGGGCCACUUGUUUGUGAGAGUAAGUAACCCAUUUUGUACACAUUUGUUUGUACAUAUAUAUUUAUCAUAAUGUCGUUUGAGUUCAUGUUGUAAUUCAAGAGUGACAUGAUGAUACUAUUAAGUAAUUUACUUUAAUGACUAAUUUAAAAUUUUUAACGAACUUCAGUGACCAUUUCUUAGUAUUUACUCCAAGUACAAAAAUAUCUUUCUGUUUGAAUUUCACUACUAGGUAAAUUAACACGUCAAAGUUGAGUUAGUUGCCUCUAACUUCUAAAGAUUAUGCUAUUUGUACAUAAAAAUGGUACAUAAGAGAUUGGAUAAAAAAGCAAAUUGUUUUUUUAACUGACAUAUAAUAGAGUGAAAUGUGACUAUGUAACUUAUUAUGUGAAACUUAAUGUACAUGUAGAAAGGUCCAAAUUCUAAUGAUCGACCACAGUUACCAACUUCCGUUCUGGUAGUUUCAAGCAGCAGAGUUUUUUGGCAACAUCUUUGGAAAGUUUCAAUUGAAAUGAACUUGUGAAAGAUUUGGUGUACCAUUUGGUAAUUAAAUUUGAAAUUUUAAUUUAGUAUUCUUGUGCCUAAAAUUGAAAUUGAGAAUCACCUUUUCAUAUUUUUUAGAUCAAGGAGAAGUGAGUAUCUCUUCCUUCAAUGUUAUACAUUUUCAAAUAUGUAACAUGCUUAUUCUCGACUUCAACUAAUUAAAAACAUAAUAUCUUUUAGUUAAUAUUUUAACCUUUUAGUAUUGUGUUUUCUAUGUAAAUGGAUAAUUUUGAUCAUUUAAGAGCAAUAGAAUAAAAAAAAUUGUUAAGGGAUAAUUUAUUAUGUUUCCUAAUUAAAAUAAUCACGACUAAAGGAGCACCUAAGAUAGACCUCAAAUAGUCUUGAUUUCCUUCAACAUAUCUUAGCUCGGGUUGAAAUUUUGGAAAGAAUCAUAACGAUUGAUUGAAGUUUUUUUUCCCCUCUCAUGAGAAUAUCAAGAAAGUGGUUAGAUGAGGUGCCGAUAGCACUUUCCUCGCUUGAUGAUUUCUGAUUAUUUAUUUUGUGAGUCAGCUAUUUUGUUGAAAUUUUUUCGUUUGUUAAAACAUGGGAUUAAAUCGAAAAAAAUAAUAUUAGUUUCUACUCUGUGAGUAAAUGAAUGAGAAGAACCGUGUUAUACAAUAUGAUGUUUAAGUUGCUUUUAUUUCGUGAUUACUUAUAUGACAUUUUAAGUUGUUGAAACGUUGUAAAAGGUGUAGUUACAUUGAGAAACUUGCUCGAGUUAAUACUCAAUCUCUACUUGGAAUGAAAUGGAUUUUUUCUAUUAUUUUGCUUUACUUGCAAUUCCAGGUUUCUGGAGAUUGUGCAAUGUAAAUUCUAUGGAUUUGCAGUAUGAGAAAGCUGCAUUUGUUUUGAGUAAGAACGAUCCUUCGGCUCUGUUAGCCAAAGUCGAAGCCAAUUAAGAAACAAAUAAAUUCCUUGCAAAAAUUCAAAGUUUUCCCACACUUGAAAUUUGCCACAUGGAUGCAAUGUUGUUCAGGAGAAUAAAGGAUCUCGUGAUACUUAUGGAAUUGUCACUUAGUUGAAACAACAAAGUGGCCUUGCAUGUACUGAAAUGGGAUCUGCUACAGAGACAGGGGGAAGGGAUAGGGAUUAAGGACAAGCCCUGGUGGUGAAACCUCGGCCCUUGAUCUGCAUUUUUAAAAUUCAGAUCAAGGGUUGAGGUUGCGCCACAUCGACCCUGUCCACAAACCCUGUCCAUUCCCCCUAUCCCUUUAGCAUUUCUAUACUGAAGUUAAAUCCCAUGAAGAUGGUGCUUCUGUAAUCAAGCAACAAAAAGAUUCUUGGGUGAAUUGGAAUGAGCAUGAAGAAAUUAAUGAUCAUUGUGCUAUAUCGAUCGCUCAAGAUCUUUGGUUUCUUCUAGAACUGAUGAAAAUUGAGAUAAUUUCUUUUGGAGUAGCUGUGAAUUAUUCUAAUCUAGUUCAUGUUCGGUUAGUAAUUAAAAAAGAGGUAGUCAUCAUUAUGAUGUCUUUGUCGAAGUUUCAUUUGCCAGUAUUCUACUAUUCCUCCGUUUGUGUGCAUUUUUCGGGGAAUGAGUUAAUUAAAUGAAUGGUCAUUAAACUUAUCACUAGGUUACUACUUACUCAUUAAACGUGGCAUAUUGAUGACGGUUAAAUUGUCAAGUUAAUUAAAUAAAUGUUCAUUAAACAUGUCAUUUUUAGAGGAUAAUCAUAAAUUAAAUGAGCGUUAAACUUAAUUAAAUAAAUGCUCAUAGAGUCCUAAAUCUGCUUUGAGGUUUCUUUGUAGAGGAUGGUCUCCAGGAUUGAUUGCUCAAUGGCUUGGAACAGAUAAUUCUCAGCCUUAAGAUCUUUAAAUUUUGGCCUUCAUUUUAUGCCUUUUGUGCAUAUGUAACUGCUAUGCUAAUUGCAUGCUCUGGAAUUUCUUCAGAAUCAACUUGCUAGCAAUCCUUUGAUUUCAAUUAGUUUUUCAUCAACAUACUCCAGUGAUCAUAGUGACCAUCGAAAUGAGGAAUUGCAAGCUACUCAAAGUUAUCGGUUACCAUGGAUGAUUGCUGUUGUUAUAGAGAGAAAGAUACCAGUUUUAACCAAGCUCUGAUAUCACUAAUGAAAUCUCUAUUAUUUACUUAAGGAACAAAGAUAUAUAUUUGAAUACAAAUGAGGUUGAAUUCUUGACAUCUCUUAUUCAAUGAUUAUAGUUCUUUAAACAAGCUUACAUUCAACAUCUAGAAACAAGAAAAUAGGUAUUCAUAUCUAACUUUAGGGAUAUAAAAACCCAUACCCUAACUAUUUAGGGCCACGAUAUACUACUUCUCUUGUAAUGACUUUUUUGAUGUUACUUUGAAAAGAAAACAUGGUUUUUAUAUGUGCUAUCAUUUUUAGUCUCUCCUAUUUGAUAAUAAUUUAUAUUUAAAUAAAUUUGUUCUUGAAAAUAUAAAAUGGAACCAUUAGGUUUUAUAUUGUAAUUGGCUAUUCUAUGAACAAAAGGGACUCAAUUGAACAUGUUGUAAAAGUCAGGGACUUGGGUUUCAAUUUGUAUAGAUGGUUUAGGCUAGGGUUGAGUUUGGAACAAGGUCGAAGACUCGCUGGAUUUUUUCUAGUUGCUCGCCAAGUUGUUGCUCGAGGGGUUGAAGCAUAAACAUUGUCGCUUGCUUGUCACCCCUACAUCGCUCGAGCAAAGAAGCCGUCGCUUGCUUCUCGUUAGAGUGUCAUUCGAGUGAUAGUGUCACGUGGCCAAACUCUAGGUCGUAAUUUGAAGAGUUUUAUAUGGCCCAUGACACCUAUUUGGCCCCAACUAUAAAUAUCAGAGUCAUGGACAGAAUUUUGGGGAGGUUGCUCAUUGUGCUUCACAACAUAAACACUUUCAUAACUUCUUUGUGAUCCAAGAGCGCAAUUCAUUGGUGGAAUCAUCUGCAUUAAUCAUGUGAUUUGUCAACUAAAGUUUUGAAAAAUAUCAAAGGUUCAAUAAUCCAAAAUACCGUGUUUCCUUAAUCUUUUGAGGAAGGGAUCAUUGGGGAAUUGAGAGAGGUGGAUUGAAGUGCAGUUACAAGCACAAGAAUAGGUGAUUUUUGGUGUUCCACUUGGAGAGACAUCAGCAUAAGAAGAGACAACAAAUUAGGCUGCAUGAAGUAGAUCAGAAAGUCAAGCAGGAGGCUAGAGAUAUCCACGAUAGUAGGAGACUACAGAAGGUCUAGUAGACUAGAGGUAUCUACGGCAGUAGAUCGUGAGACUGUGAUAGCAAGUCUUAGUGGGUACAAGAAUUGGAAUUGCUGUGUGUUUCCUGAACUGUCUAUGGUAGAGGUAACUGGCUGGUUCUCGAAAUUUUUCCCAUGUUAAGUUUCUCCGUCAUCAAAUUUUCUGUGUUCUUUACUUUCCAGCAAUUUAUUACAAAUUGCGGUAUUUAAACAUCGGGUUAAUUGAAUUGUAUGCUUAAUCAUCUAAAAGCUAAUUAAAAGUGACUUGUUUGCUUUGAUUAGUACAAUUCUGCAUGUAAGAUCAAGCUAAUCGAUAAUCUGGAACGUAAACUUCGUAAUCUAAAAAGUUGAAAUAGUGUGUACUAUCCAAGACCCAAACUCAUAGAUACGACUAAGAUAAUUGUUUUGCGCCAUAAGUACAAAUACCCAAAAAAAAAAAAAUAGAGUUUACGUAUGUAUUAAUACCUUGAUAAUAAAGCAUAUAUUCUUUAGGGCAGCUUUAAUACAUCUUUUGGAAUCUUUAUUUUUGCAACUUAAACAAUAGAAAUCUAACUUUUUAACUUAAAAUUAAUCCCAAUGAUAGAUGGAAAAUAGUUUAAUAGAUGAGUGAGCAAUAUAUAACCCCUUUUUUGUUCAGUAAGCUAUGUGCAACCGGGGGAUAAAUUAAAUGAACAUUCAAUUAAUUAAUCUCGAUAAUUGAACAUCACGGUGUGAUUUUCGUAAGAUGUGAAGCAAUUUUCAUAAAGUGGGAGUAACAGAUUUCAUUCCAUUGAUGGCAACCUUUAAUACUUCUUUUUCAUAGCGUCUCAAAUCUGUUUCAAAAUUUCUUCAUAGAUUGUCCAGGAUGUUAUAUGAUUGUUCGAAAUCAAUAAAACGUAAAGUUUAUGAAAUGGAAAAUGGAAUCAAAAGCCAUAAAAUUGGCCUAUGUGACAGUAUAGGCCAAAUGGGCUUGCGGUCGCAUAGGAUUUUACAAAAAUUUCCAGCCAUGUGAGACAUUGAUCUAUGCGACCGCAUAUGAUUGUUCUAUGUGGUCGCAUAGAAGAAAGGAGCCGUUUACAUUUUGAAUUUGGUGGCUUUUCGAGGGAUUUUUACGUCACUUCGUAUGUCAAUGUUUGAAGGCUAUAUAUAUGUGAUUGAUAACUGUAAUACCCCGAACUUCACGUUCUACAUUUGGCCAAUAUGAUUCAUGCAUUUCAUGCUAAUUACAUUGUCAUUUGUAUCAAUUUCCUGAUUGCCUUCUCUUAAAAUGAUGCAUUUGAUCAUCAAGGCUUUAAAAUCUUAACAUGGUGAUAACCUUCGACUCUUCGAUCUAGGUGGUGAAUUUUAUAUUGAGCUAUGAUAGAAAGUUAGAUUAACUAAAUGUUGGAGAUUGGCUUGGUAAGUAAUGUAAUAUUUGAAAGGCCGAAAAUUUGUAUCAACGAAGGUUCAAGCUUUCCAUUCAGCUAAUCGAGGUCACCUUAAACCCUAGAUAGGUAAUUCAUAUAUUUGGGACAUGAGGGAUGAAGUGACAUUAUCACAACGUAAUAAUAUAUGUCUUAUAUGACAUUAUAAAUAUUGCGGUGCGAAUUGUUGAAAUCAGUUGAGAAUCGGGUAAGAAAUUAAAUGAACGGUUGAGGAAUUAGUUCUAUGAAAUACUUUGGGAUCUUAGGACAAGCGAAAUGGAUUGUAAACAUGUCAAAAUAAGCCGAGGAUACUUGGUUUGUGCCUGCAAAGAUACAUAUAAAAUCAGAUUUUGCUACAAGUGACCACCUCAUGCUUAAACACCUCGCGCUUGGGAUGUUUGUCAUUUUAGCACUCAAUUCCUUCAACCUUAAGCCUCCAACACGUCCUAUAAGUCCUUGGAACUUUACACAAGAUAUUUAUAACUCUUCUAAGUCACAUAUGGCUCCAUGUGGUGCAAGGGAGAAGUCAAAGUUGGCUGCAAGAAGCCACCUCCUACUUGGACAGCUCAUGCUAGGGGACUUUUCACUUUAAUAUAUAAUUGCUUCAACCUUAAGGCAUAAAUUUCGUGUCUAAUCCCCAAGGACUUAAUAUAGGAUGAAUAUAUAUCUUAAAUAUCAUAAAUGGACACAAAAAUAAUGGUAGAAAAGUCAAGCAUUGCAGCCAAGAUGAUAGCUCCAGCUUAGUGACUCACCUUGAUUGCUUGAGGUGGCUGCAGCCCAUGAUAUUCUUAAUCCUUAAGUAAUAUGCACGACUUCAACUAUUUAAAGACCACUCAUUUACCUCCUAGAUAAUAUAUUAACUCCCUAAACUCGUCCCUAAGUGAUUCCAAGUGAAAAGAGGGUGAAACAGUCAAAGAGAAAUAGAAACAAGAAGCUGUUAUUUCUGAACAGCUUUGUUACUCCACAGUUUUGAGGUUUGUUUCUAUUAUUUCUUAAGGGCUUUAUGAUUUCUUAAACAUCUGAACUUGUUUGUAAUUAAGUUGGAGUGUUGUUAAUGAUGUUAUGAUGCAUAAAUAGGGGUAAUCAAUUGCAAGAAUUUGAAAGAAAGUAAUCUGGACAGAGAUGAGGAAUUGCUGGAUUGAGUGAUUUAUACCUUGAUUUUGGGAUGAUACUCAGUGUUUAACUUAUAUAUGUCAAUAUGAACGUUUUUAUAUGUAAGUAGGGAGUGUAGAAAUGAUUUUAAUGGCCUAGAAUUCUGUUGGUAUCAUAAUAAUAAAAUGGAAACCGAAAACAGUCAAAGGGAAAAACUGCCUGAUUUUAUGUAGUGGAAAAUGGACUGUUUUUGAAGCUCCAAACACUUCAUUUGUAACAAUGUUAUGAUCUGAUUAUCUUCACAUAUAUGUNNNNNNNNNNNNNNNNNNNNNNNNNNNNNNNNNNNNNNNNNNNNNNNNNNNNNNNNNNNNNNNNNNNNNNNNNNNNNNNNNNNNNNNNNNNNNNNNNNNNNNNNNNNNNNNNNNNNNNNNNNNNNNNNNNNNNNNNNNNNNNNNNNNNNNNNNNNNNNNNNNNNNNNNNNNNNNNNNNNNNNNNNNNNNNNNNNNNNNNNNNNNNNCAUUUGCAACUACGAUGCAAGAACCUAGCAUUUGUGGUAUAGUGAUGUUAGGAUAUUUUCAUACUUUGAUAAGAAAGCUCGUUGUACCCUAUAUGAUGAUUAUGAUCAUUGAGUAUGCGGUUGCAAAAUACAUUGACAACAACUUCCAUUAAGCAUGUCAUUCAUGAGCAUUUUCAUAUGCAUGCACGACAUGUGACAUGGUUGAAAAUCCUGCAUGCAAAAUAUGAUUUCAAAGUGAGUUUCAUUAUAAAUGUUUUAUUGACCACUACUAGGGCACCGAGGCAUGUGAGGCAUGCUUAUGUGAUAUGUUUGGCAUUGCGAGUAUUACUUCCUGGGUGAUUGCAAAGGUAGAUAGGGGAUGGGCCUUUGGUGAUCACGGGAGGGCGAACCACUCGACUAUGCCCUUGUUAUGAUUAUUGGCGCUGUCGGGUGGGAGACUUCUUGGGUGAUCAUAGGGGUAGUUAGGGGAUGGGCCUCUAGUGGUCACGAGAGGAUGGUCCACUCGCCGGUGUCGAUUUCAUAUUGGCCAUUUGAUUAUUGAUAUUGAUAUUAUGCAGAGCUCUAUCCGGUGCAUAGUAGGUGGGUCAAGGGCCCAAUGAAAUGAAAGAUUUCAAGUGAAAUGAUUUCUAGUCGACUUUGACAAAUAUUGAAAUAUGAUACUUUUUAUCGUGAUAUUUAAAGUAAAUGACAUGGUGUCAUAUGUUGUUAUUACUCAUGUUCAGGACAUGCAUGAUUUUGCUUACUAAGCAUUAGCUUAUGUAGUUCUUGCAUUGUAGGUGAACAUGGAACUACAUAGAGAGCAUGGCUAGCUGUGGAGCUCCUACAGGAUUUCAGAGUUCAAUGUACAUGGAUGACUACCUGUAGGGUUAUUUUGUAGGCUGCCAUCUGUUGGGUUAUAUUUUGGAAUCCUAUAUAGUGUACUUUUGAAAUGGCCUGUAGAUAUGUUUAUAAGCUGAAUAUAUAUGUUAGAUUAUGGCGAUAUGAUUUUGGGUUUCGAUAUAUUAUAUGAUCGUGUCACAGGUAAUUAGAAGUUAACAAACUCAAAAAAAAAAUAUGUAAAAUUCUAUGUCUAGGUUGUGUAUAGAUUUGGGGGUGUGACAAUAACUAAUAAAAGACAUUGAAAAACAUAUAGCCACCGUCGAGACCAAAAUUAUUCAUAUUGAAAUUCAUUUCUUACUUCAUAUUUAAAUCCAAUUUUUAUGUUCUUAAGUUUUGAAAGAUUUCACUUUUGCUUGGUGUUAAUAUUCUACAAGGCUUGUUAAAAUCCUACAAGUCAUUUGCCAAAAUUUCUUGAAGUAUCUCAUUCAUCCUAGAGGGGACAAAUAUUGUUUGAGGACUAAGAUAUCGUGUUUGGGCCUUCAUCUUUAUAUUUUGUUCCUAAUUUUUUAUUCCUUAUUUCUUCUCCAUUUCUCUCUUAUGAAAGAUAUAAUUUCCAACAAUCUCAAACGAUAAUUCUGCAAUGGAGAGUGAAAUGACUAUGGUGACAAUCAAAUUAACAAACCAAGGUCUCAUGCUCCCGGAUUGCUUCAAUGGCACAAACUUCACGAGAUGGCAAGAUAAACCGAAAUUUCUCUUUAUGGCAUUGAAAAUUUUCUACAUACUUAAUCCGAAUUUAGCGCCAUUACCGGAACCAACAAAAGGUGAAAUGAAGGCCAUCAAAGUCGAAAGACAAAAGCGCCAAGAAGAUAAAUUCACUUGCUACGGUCACAUACUCAAUACAUUGUUGGACAGUUUAUAUGACAUACACAAACACAUCUUCAACGAAAGAAAUAUGGAACGCCUUGGAGAGUAAGUACAAAGCGGAAGAUAAGGUAUCAAGAAAUUUUUAAUUUCUAAGUACUUUGAUUUUAGAUUUUUUGAGAAUAUUUCCCUACUUUCCCAAAUACAUGAAAUGCAAGUGAUUGUCAACAAGUUGAGAAGGUAAAGAUUGAAAUCCCGAUGACCUUUCAAGUGGGGGCAAUUAUUGCAAAGCUUCCCGAGAUUUGAAAAGAGUACCAGAAGAAAAUAAUGCAUAGUUCUGAAAAAAUUUUCUUUGGAACAAUUGUAGAAAUAUUUUCGCAUUGAGGAAGAAUUGAGAACGUGAGAUAUAAAUAAAUAUUCUUAUGAAGGCACUUCCAAAGCCAAUGCAGUGGAGAAAAAUGAACCACCGACAAAAUCUAACAAGAGAAAGCCUUCUAGGAACUUCAAUAAGUCCAAGACAAAGACCAAAGGAAAAUGUUUCAUGUGUGAAAAAUCUGGACAUUAUGCAUAGGAUUGUAGAUACUGAAAAAGAAACAACUCUGAGGGUAAGGUGAAUUCCAUCCAAAAAAAAAAGAUUGUGGUCAUCGUAAGUGAAAUAAAUGCAAUCAAAGAAAAUGUUCCCGAAUUGUAGUAUGAUACUUGUACAACAAUGCUUGUAUCAUAUGACAAGUCUUUAUUCAAGACAUAUUAUGAGGUAGAUGGAGACCAAGAGAUCUAAAUGGGUAACGAAGUCCAAUCUAAAGUAAUUGAAAAAGGAAACGUGGAUAUCAUCUUCACUUCUGGCAAAAUCGUUACUUUAACCAAUUUUUUACAUGUCCUAUAUAUGAAUAGGAAUUUGGUUAGUGGAAAUCUCUUAGAAAAAUUGGGCAUCAAAAGUGUUUAUAAGUACAUAUAAACUUGUAUUAUCCCUAAACGAAAAAUUUGUUGGAAAAUGCUUUUCUUGUGAAUGAAUGAUCAAGCUAUGCACUGUUGACAAAUUAAAUAAUAAUAAAGUUGAUUUUGUUUAUAUUGUUGACUCAUUUUCAUCAUGGCAUGCUAGGUUAGGUCAUACUGGUAAAAGUACUAUGAAAAGAAUGAUGAAAUGUGACUUGAUUUUAUAUAAUGAAAAUUAUGCCUUUAAGUGUAAAACAUGUGUUGAAUCUAAAAUGAUUAGAAAGCAAUAUUAAAGUGUAAAAAGAACUUCUAGCAUUAUAGAAUUAAUUCAUACAGACAUGUGUGAAUUAAAUGGCAUAUUAACUAGAGGUGAUAAUAGGUAUUUCAUUACCUUUAUAGAUGACUUCACUAGGUAAACAUUUAUGUAUUUGACGAAAUAUAAACAUGAGACAUUUAACAUGUUUAAGAUAUAUAAAAGUGAAGUUGAAAAUCACCUAAGUAAGAAAAUAAAAACACUAGAGGUGGCGAAUACUUCUCUAGUGAUUUUAAAAUGUUUUGUGAACAACACGGUAUUAUUUACCAAUCUUCUGCACCUAGGACUCUUGAAGGAAAAAAUAAAACCUCGGUAGAAAUGAUAAAUGUUAUAUUAACUUAUGCUAAGCUACUAUUUAAUUUGUAGGGUGACGCUUUAUUGAGUUCAUAUAGUAUACUAAAUAGGAUUCUUUCAAAAUUUACAAAGGUUUCACCUUAGGAAUUAUAGAAAAGAAUAAAACUUAACAUUGGACACUUCAAAGUGUGGGAGUAUCUCGCUUAUUGCAAGAACACGAACCCUAAUAGAACUAAAUUAGAUCAAAGAGGCAUCAAAUGUGUCUUUGUUAGAUAUGAUAGCAAUAGCAAAUCAUACAGAUUGUUGAAUUUGGAGACCAAUGUGAUUAAUGAAUCUAGUAACGUAGAGUUUUUUGAGAAGUCGCUAGCUUUGGAUAAUGAAUUGAGGGAGAAUCAUAAAGAUAUCCUUGGAUCAAGUGAAACACAAGAUGAGACAUCUUCUCAAGAUGUUGAUAAGUCUAUUGAGCCAUGAAUAAGCAAGAGAACUCGGACUGAGAAGUUUUUGGGACCAGACAAAGUUGACUCUUAAUUUAUUUCCUUUUACAUAGUAGAAAAAAAUGAGAUGAAUGCUGUAAGAACAAUUCCUUUUGUUCUAUAGGUGGAAACUGAUCCUAAAACUUAUAAAGAAAUUAUGGCUUCACAUGACAGCUUCUUUUGGAAAAAUGCUAUUAAAGAUAAAAUGAAUUCAAUAAUGUCAAACAAUACAUGGGAAUUUGUUGAUUUCUCACCCGGAUCUAAACCUAUUGGCUAUAAAUGCGUAUUUAGGAUGAAUUAUAACGUUGAUAAUUCUCUUAAUACCUUUAAGGCUAUAUUAGUAGCCAGGGUGGCAAUCGACUCCGCCUAUCUAUGCACGAGCUCAGCUCGUCAAGUUCAAGCUCGUUAAAGCAUGAGCCAAGCUCAAGCUAGGCUCGUGCUCAAAGUCGAGCUCAUGAGCUCAAAUCUUUUCUUAAUAUUUGUUUUAUUUUUUUCUUCCAUUUUUUUCACAAGCCCACGAGCUCAGCUCGUGAACCUACGAGCCAUUCGCCUGUAGAUGAGCCAAGCGAGUUCAGCUAGUCUAGUCAAUAGGCCCGCUCGGCUUGUGCUCGAGCUCGUAUUUGCUCGAGCCGCCCACGAGCUACAUUGUUAUGAGUCGAGCGACUAAACCGACGAGCUGCUCUGCUCGAUUGCCACCCCUAUUAGAAGCCAAAGGGUAUUGACAAAAGGAAAGAAUUGACUGUUUUGACACUUAUGCACCGGUAACUCGAAUAACAUCAAUCAGGAUAUUAUUCGCAUUAGCUUCUAUAUAUGACUUGCAUGUUCAUCAAAUAGAUGUCAAAAUAGCAUUCUCGAAUGGGGAUCUCGAUGAGGAAGUUUAUAUGGAACAACCUGAACGGAUUGCUCUACCCGAAAAUGAACACAAUAUGUGCAAGUCGGUAAAAUCACUAUACGGUUUGAAAUAGGCACCUAAAAAAUGGCAUGAGAAAUUUGGCUUAUCUAUAAUAUCAUUUAGUUUUAAACGUAAUACCGUAAAUAAAUGUUUGUAUUUUAAAGCAUGUGAUAAUUAUGUGAUAUUUAUAUGCUAUAUAUUAAUGACAUGUUGAUUAUGAGUAAUCACAUGGAUAGAAUUAAAGAAACGAAGAAUUUUUUUAUCUUCCACAUUCAAAAUUAAGGAUCUUGACAGGAGGAUACCAUAUUGGGUAUCAAAGUCACUAAGAUUAGUGGGGGUUAUCAUCUAAAUCAAUCACAUCAGAUCGAGAAUUUUAUAAAAAAAGUUCAAACAUUUAAAAAUAAAGUAAAAUAUAGUAUCCCAGUUCAUCGAAGUUCAAAGCUUGUAAAGAAUAACGGAAAGGCAAUUGCUGAAUUGGAAUAUUCAAGUGUUAUUGGGAAUCUUUUGUAUGGAGUUCAAUACACAAGACUGAACAUAGCUUUUGCAAUUAGUAAAUUUAGUAGGUUUACUAGUAAUUCGAGCAAUGAUCAUUGGAAUGUCAUUGGAAGAGUUCUUGGAUGUCUAAUGAAAAUCAAGACGAGUUGAGCCCAAGCUCAUGAGCUCGCUCUUUUUUUUUUAAGAAAAAUAGAUAAAAUAUAAACUUGUAUUUUUUUAACGUGUACAAUUUUUUGAAGAAAAUUAAAAAUAUUAUUAUAAAAUUACAAGAUGUGAUUAAUAUAAUUUAGUCAAAUAUCACUUACUAAUCAAUUGAUGUCAUGUGUGUUGACUUCACAUUUUGAUUAUAACAAACAUAUCGCUUAUAUCGCUAAUAAUUGCAUUUGAGUGAUUAUAGAAAUUAUGGCAAAGUUUGAUCAAUUGAAGAUGAAAAGUUUACCAUUGAAACACUCGAAAAGAUGAGCAAAUGCAAGCCAAGAUAAAAGCCGAGUGUACACAUGAAAUUAUUCAAGACUUACACUUCAUCAAGUUCCGACAUUAAAGACAUUAGAUUUAGACUUCUUGUAUUCAAGUGUAAAGGUAAAACACUUUAAUAACUGGAGAUAUUGUGUAAAGCUUAAAGUAUAUCUUUAAACGAUGUUUGGAAUAUUUUUGCACACAAAAUUAUUUUUCAAAGAUACAAACUUUAUUACAUAUUUGGAAAUGUCAAAAACCUUGAAAAUGAGUUUUUUAAAAAAUAUUCCUAAAGAGGUCAUGGUAUUUCCAAACGAUCAAAGAUAAUUUUUUGUGAAAAAACGGUCGUAUCGGACGCGUUCGAUAGAGUCGAUUUUUCUAACGGUCCAAAUAGUGACCGUUCUGAUUUCUAACCAAAAAACGAUUAGUUGACGCUCGGUAAGUAUCGGACGUCCGGUAGGGGUUGUCUAGUAGGACAGAAAUUUGACGAUUUUACUUCUAUAAAUACCUUAUCAGUUUGCGUUCAAUACAGAACUUCCAAAAACAUUAAAAGUGAGAUCUUCUUGAGCUUGAAUAUUUGUUACAUAUCUUUAUCAAUCCAUUCAUACUUAAAAAAACAUUUGAUUGAUUCAACCUUUGAAAAUUAUUUUCUCAAAGUUUUUUAUAUCUAACACUUAAGCUUCAUUCAUUGCCAUCCAUUAAAGUGUUAGUCUAUUUUUCUCUCAUUAGACUCAACUUUGAUAUAUUAUUUAUUGAGAGAAAAGUUUCAAUUUGUAAAUUUAAACUUGUGGGUCGUGUUGAAGUCCUGUAAAGAUCGACAUUGUAAAAGGAUCGGUGAUCCUUGCUUGUAAGUCACCGAAAGCUUUGUAAAAGGGUUAGAUUGCACCAUAAGUCAAUCAAUAUAAUGAAAAAGGCCUUGCUCGUGACGGAGAGCUUAGUAACGGAAGAGUAGAUUGGUUGAGUUGGAUUGAACCUCCUAUUAAAUCGUUUGCACUCUCUAUCCCUUUUACUUAUUUGCUUUACAUUACUUUCAUUAUUCAGUUUCGUAUUUGUGCAAUAGAAUUAAAUUUUGAAAAAGUUUUAAAAAUCAAUUCACCCCCCUCUUGAUUAGUCAAUCUUGGGCUUUCAAUGUGGGCAGUGGGCUCAGGGCUGUGACAUACGAUAAAUUGGAAACUAAAAAAUGUUUUAGAUAUGGUAUCUAAAACACUUUUCAACUCCUCAUUUAUGGUAUGCCACAUAGACUUGAUAAUUUUGGAAGAGCACAUCUAGAGACUAGAGAGACUGAGAGAGUUGUUGAAUUCAAUGAAUUGUCAGUUGCAUGAAAAAAAUGGAUUAUGUUUAGGGUAUUUAUAGAGUGAGAAAGGAAAAAAAGCAAUACCCAUGUGCCAAGCUCGGCUUGUGGCUCAUUAUUUUUUUAAAAAUUUUUAAAAUAGAUAAAAUAUAAACCCUCAUCUUUUAUUCAGAUUUGAGACAAUCUACUUAAAUUUUGAGUGGGCAGAAUUAAAAAUUGUACACGAACAAAUUGUAAUGUGUACAAAUUUUUAAAGGAAAUUCAAAAGAGUAUUAUGAAAUAACAAAUUUUGAUUAAACUGGUGUAAUUAAAUAUCACUGAUUUGACGACAUGCAAUUUCAACAUAUUUAUCGUGAAGUUGGAAAUAAGCGUCCCACCAAUCCUUAACGCACAUUUAUGCUUCUAAAAUAUCUUCUUUCAGCCUGCACCUGACCUCAAACAAAAUCCUGUUACCUGCACUAAAAGCAAAUUUCCAAGCAACAAUGCUAACCGAAAGUAUCAGCAGAUCUUUCGUAAUUGCAGAAACAAUUGGUCAUCGUCAUUCAUACCUUUGCCAGAAUUCAAUUACUUCUUCUGAACCUUUUUAAAUUAUUUUAUUUGUUCGCAUAUUAUGAUUAAAAUAAUCAAUUAAUUCAACAAGGAAUACAGUUGGACUUGCAUCCGAUAUUUGAUAAGAUACAGAUGUAGAUGACAUAGCACUAGAUGAACCUAUUGCAGUUGCAUCAUAUCUAUAUGUAUUAAUGCCUUUACAUAAAUUUAAUAUUUCUACAUUAUCUUCUUCAGUAUCAACGAAAAGAGUAGGUGGAGAGUGCACCCGACUAACAUUUGUACCCAUUCGUUCCGCAUAUAAUUCAUACAUUUCACAUAAUAUUUCCUCUAAAUUCUUGUAGGUGGUAGGUGUACUAAAAGUUAAAGCUUUUGAAAUUUGAUCGAUUACAUAUUUAGUUCCCGGUAAAUUAUAUCGAAAGUCCAUUACGCAUGCUAAAGGAAAUAAUAUAUGCAAAUCUUCCCAAUAUUUUCUAAAUUUUAAUUCCAUAGCAUAUAUAAUUGCACUGAAAUCAGAGUCAUUUUUAUAUUUAUGAAAUGUUCUUGCAAUUAUAUAGAAGCGUUCAAGCACCAUACAACUAGUAGGACAGUGAACGCCAGAUAAAAUAUUUGUGGAAUCAUAAAAAGAUGUCAAAAAGUCAUAGUUAAAACCCAAUCAAAUUCAUUCAACAUAGAGUCGUUAUCAUUUUUAAUCUGCAUAUUGUUAUAAAAGUCAGUUAUUAAAUGUUCAAAACCUUCGCAUGACUUUAAUAAUAAGUAAGUCGAAUUCCAUCUAUGGCCUACGUCGCUACCAAAUGAUCUAGCAUUCGCCCAAUUUCGACACAAUAAUCCUCAAAUACCUGUUUUCGACUACGGGAGGUCGUGAUAUAUAUUAGUGCAUUCUUAAUCCUUUGAAAUUCAUCCUUUAUAUGUUUUAAAUCAUCUUACCCAAUUAAAUUCAAAAUAUGGUAUAUACAACGAAUAUAAAACAAAUACUAACUGAAAUCAAGUUGCAGUACCCUCACACAAUUUAUCUACAACAAUUUUAUUAACAUUAGUAUUAUCGAAAGUAAAAGAAAGAAUUUUAUUCUCGCAACGAUAUUCUCUAAUAAUACUUAUAAUAGCAUUAUAUAUAUUAUUAGCGUUGUUAGGAAACUCAAUAAUUCUAAAAGCAAUAAUUUUCUUAUACAUACACUGAAGUGGGUCUAUUUAGUGUGCAAUUGCAGCUAUAUACACCCUUUUAUUAAUCACUUCCCAUACGUUCGAAGUUAAAGAUAUAAGUCCCCAUAUUUUUGUAAAUUCAUAAUUAAUUGUUGUUUUGAAUCAACAAAAUAUUAUAUUGUUUCUGAACUAAAGUGUUUCAACUUACUCCAACAUACGUUGGUUGUAACAUAUUUUCACGUACGAGACGAAGUGUUAGUUAUCUACUAUUACUAGAGGCAAAUCAGCACCGGCAACAAGUUUCACCAUUUCAGUUCGAGCUUUCUCCUCCGAUAGACCAACGUGGACAGGGGCAAAGUCGUAGAACUGGCGCCUAGACUAUCAAAUUGCAAUUGUGUUUGACCGGUUGGAAGAAGUCCAUGUUUCGUCGAACUUGCUUUGUAGUGGCGGUAAAGGUGGGUGAUAUCAAUUCCUUUUUGCCAUGCCAAUAUUUCUUGGCAGUAUUUACAUUCCGCUUUAAAUUCGGCAACUCCAUUGACGAAUUUUUCCAUUGAAAUCAACUUGAAGUGAUUUCAACACUUUGCUUUUCCCCCCCCCCCCCUUUCACUUUCCCCUCGCAUCCGGAAUGUUUAAUUUAGCUUUUUCUUCCUCUUUAUGUUUUGUUUCGGGAACGUCAUCAUCAUCCAAAUCAAUUGGAUCAUUGCUUCCAUGAAUUCCCAAAUCUAGAAUAUUUCAGGUAUAGUUACGUUAUUUAGACCAAAAAAUUCAUUCUAAAAUUGACUUUUUGAUGUUAUAGGCGAUUCGCCUCCUAUACCGAACAAGCUCUCAACAAAUAAGUGUGGAUCUAUUUAUUUGUGAUGAAAUCAAAAUGUAGUAACUAGUAAGUAUGAAUGUAAAACUGUAAAUGUAUAAAUGUAACAAAAAUAAAUGUAGACUUGAGAGUUGAGAGAGAGAUUAUGUAAAUGUAAUUGAGAGUUAAGACUUGAGAAAGACUAUUUGUUGUAAAGAUGAAAAUAGGGAUGCAUGGGUAUUUAUAGGGAAAAAAUUGGGAAAAAGAAAUUAUGUGGCCGUUUUGGCCACUAUUAGUGAACUAUGGUACAGCGACCGAAUACGGUCAGUUUUUGCUGUACCGAAUACGGUCAGUUUUAAAAAAUUGACCGUAUUCGUUCGCUAUUCCUACACAGGCUACAAGCCAAGCUCAUUUCGUGGGCUCGCAAACGAGCGUUCGUCCAUUUGGCGAAACGCGCGGUCAAGCUCGACUUAGGCCCUCUUUAUUUUACGAGCCCGACUUCAAUGAGCAGAGUGGCUCUCAAUUGCCAGCCUCACUUAAAGUUGGGUGUUUACUCUUGGAAGAGGUGUUGUUUCUGGAAAUCAAAGAAAUAGACGUGCACAACACACUCGACUGUGAAAUUUGAAUUUGUAGCACUAUCGAAAAUCGGGAAAGAAAUUGAGUGGCUUAAGGGUCUCCUUUAUGAGAUACCUUUGGGACCGAAUAAUACAUCUUCAAUACCUAUCAUGUGUGAUAGUCAAACUAGGUUGGUAAAAGUAUACAAUGGAAAGUCUAGACAUAUGAAUUUUAGACAUGGCUACAUAAGAAAAUUAAUCAAUGAUGGAAUAAUUUUCCUAAUUUAUAUGAAGUCAAUCAAGAAUUUAGCAAAUCCUUUAAUUAAACUUCUAAAUAGAGAUUUAGUAGUGCCUACUUCGAGUAGGAUGGGGUUGAAACCCCCUAAACUAAAAGGUCCACCAAUGAUAGCAACUCUACUUGUUAUUACUCAAAAAGUAAUCCACAAAUUCAAAGGGUAAUAAAAAGUCAUUUGAUAUGUAGAUAGUUUCAGUAUUAUUAAAAUCCGCAAUAACCCUAUCCUAAUAAGUAAUACUGGUUGUUACUGAAGUGAAAGAUGAGCUUUAAGGUUUUAUUGAAGUUCAGCAAUAAGUACAAGUAUUUCUAAAAGUAACAAGGAUAUCGAAAGAACUUCACCUAGAUAAAUUUCAAGAUAGUGCUGGCUCAAUAUCUACAAUGUUUGUUAAAAUCCUACAAAUCAUUUACCAAAAUCCCUUGAAGCAUCUCAUUCUAUUCGAGAUGGGACAAAUAUCGAUUUAAGACCAAGAUAUCGUGUUCGUGCCUUCAUCUUGAUAUUCUGUUCCCGAUUUUUUAUUCCUUGUUUAUUCUCCAUUUCUCUCUUGUGAAAGAUAUAAUUUCCAACACAAGAUUGAUAGCUCAAUGGCUUGGAACAAAUAGUUCUUAGCCUUAAAAUGUUUCUAAUGUUGGCCUUCAUUUUUUCCCUUUGUGCCAAGACCAUGUUUUGAUAUCCCUUUAGAAACAACUUGCUAAUAAUUUUAAGUUUACGUGAAUCCAUCAACGUUUUAGUUUUAGGCAAACUAAACUAUUUUGAAGCACUUUGAUUUAAAUUUCAAUUUUUACUAACUACUCUACACUGUCAAAUCAUUUACCAAAAAAAUUGUGAAAAAAAAAUUAAAUAAAUUAAAAUUUAUCCAACUCAUUUAAAAUUAAACACGUUCCAAUUAAAAAGGCACAUUCAUAGACCAUAGUAGACCCAAACCAAUUAAAUCUAGUACCCAACCUAGAGGCGUCAAUUUGGCAUGUCGAAUCGAGCAGCCUGUGUUCGACUUGAAAAAAGCCCAAGUCUCCUGCCACUCUUAAGGCUCCCAAGUGCCAACCCGUCUGGCUCGACAAGUCAAAUUGGCCAUUGUUGGCUAGUGACGAACUGAGCCUUUAUAUAAAAUAAAUAAAUUACUGUAGCAACAUAGCAGGCAGCUACAUGGGCUUCCUCGAUACACAGGCGCUAAAAAAAAUUCCUGCUACACAAGUUGCCUGUGUUCCAGGUAGCUACACGAGCUGCCUUUGUAUAUAUUUAAAAAAAAAAAAAGUGAGUUGGCUUGACUCGGUUCGAUAAGACCCGAUCCAAAAGCUCUAGUCGAACCUAAAUUUUUUGGUCGACCAAACCUCGACUCGACUGGGGCAAAAAAAAAAGACCAACAGUUUUUCUCAAGCUGAGAUCCUUAGCCUUAAGUUUUGGCUAACAAGCCGACUCUACUCAACUCGUUAACAUCUAUAAUCCAACCCAAAUAAAUCAAAUAUUUGAUUAGACAAUUACCUGCCCCUCGAGGUAUAUUCAAGUGGUGCAAAGGACAAGGGUGAAAUAUACUCAAUCUUACUGGUAGUCGCAAUGUGAGGAUUCGAUUCCUGAAACAUGAAUUGGGAUUUUUUGUGGACACCAGUGUACAGACAACUCUUAUUCUUUGACUUACUGGGACACAUCCCAAUAAUCCAACCCAGUGUACAAACAACUCUUAUUCUCUGACUUACUGGGACACAUCCCGCUAUUAAUCUCUUACGAUGCUCUAGAGACGGGACACUAAGAGACGUUUAAUAUUGGGAUUUAACCUUUUUUUUUAUUAGACAAUUACCUUCCUAAGUAAUUAAUAAACAAUCAUAAACGUCCCUCAAGGCAUAACCCAGUGGUGCAAAGGAUAGGAGUAAGGUUACCUUAAAGCCUUACUGACAGUCGCAGUGUGGGAGGGUUCGAUUCCUGAAACAUGAAAUUGAACUCCUUGUAAGCACAACGUACAGGUAGCUUUUAUUUCCUAACCUGUUGGGACACAUUCUUCGAGACAGUGAGGACAUGAGGUUCAAUCUUUUUUUUUUUUUUUAUAAUAAUCAUAAACAAUGACCAUCAAGAUCGCUGAACGAUGGUUGUCAAAUCAUAUUCACCAGCCAUCUGCCCAUCCAUCACAACUUAGUAAACAAUUCAAUUUGUAAAAUUUGCAAUAAUAUCUUCAACGUAAAUUUUGAAUUAUGUACAUUUGAAGGCAUUUACGAUUGAACAUACAUUAAUUGAAUUAAUAUAGUUUUACUACAGAUGUUAAAAAAAUUAAUUAUGACACUAAACACGCCAAAUAAUCGAAAUUUAUUUCAUAAUUUAAAUUUGAACCCUCAGUUUCAACUAACAUAAAAUUCUGAAUCGGAAACCAUGUCCAAGCCUAUUUAAGGUCUCCCCCAAGAGAUUUCGAAACCAUGUCCAAGCCUAUUUCGAGUCUACCCCAACGAAGCUAGUUCGGUUGUUGUAUCCAUUAUGAUGCUGACAUUUCUUUAUAUUGUUUGGAUUCUUUAAUUCAAUUUUAUUUUCACAAUACAAUUACGUAAAAAAGGAGAACUCAUAAACAGAGAUCCAAAUUAAUAAAUAUUGUAAAAAUCACAAUUUACUCCACUCAUAAUUCUGUAAAUACAGAUUCAUGCAUAGUGAAAGUAACAAACGAGAACCAGCGGUCAAAAACGAUAGUAACACCAAACAUAGAACCCAACAUACGAUCAAAAUCACGAACAAAACAAGCAAAUGACUAAACCAUCACGAAACCCUAAAUUUAAUUCCUCCAGCUGCCAUCGGAAUCACCACCUCUGUUAUACCCACGGUCACCACCAUAUCCCCGGCCGCCGCCGCCGCCGUACCCACGGUCACGGCUUCCACCGUAUCCACCACCAUAUCCACCUCCGUUGCCACCUCCGUAGCCACUAUCGCGACGGCCUCCACCGUAUCCGCCGCCACCCUCACGACGACCACCGCGGAAUCCACCGCCUCCUCCGCCGCCGCCGCCGCCACUGCCGCGAGAUUGAGCCUCGUUGACAGUAAUACUCCUUCCAUCAAGAUCCUGACCAUUCAUUCCUUCAAUUGCGUCCCUCAUCGAUUGCUCGUCCUUGAAGGUUACGAAUCCAAACCCCCUCGAUCUUCCAGUCUCGCGGUCAUUAAUAAUCUAAAUCAAAAAAAUUCAAAAGAAAACAUCAGAUCUAAACAGAUCUAUCAAAUAUACAAUAAAAAAAACUGAAAGGCGAUUCGAUCCUCAUCUCCUGGUAACAAAGGUAGAUGGAACGUAC
This 46993-nucleotide long non-coding RNA is filed under the name Olea europaea (common olive). RNAcentral's name for it is "long non-coding RNA (OEUR_LNC001830)". Lineage: Eukaryota; Viridiplantae; Streptophyta; Magnoliopsida; Lamiales; Oleaceae. The record is from RNAcentral.